Molecule: long non-coding RNA, 57676 nt
Filed under: Populus tremula
Lineage: Eukaryota; Viridiplantae; Streptophyta; Magnoliopsida; Malpighiales; Salicaceae
Description: long non-coding RNA (PTRE_LNC002279)
Source: RNAcentral
UUUUUUUCUUUUGUUUUGAAAGAUUCAAAUUUGCAAAUUCACAAGUGAAGAACUGCAGUUCUGAGAAUUCAUGUGCUAAAUUAAAUAUUCACAAACCAAAUAACUACAGUUCUGAUGCAUUAUAUGCUACAAAGUGCAAACAACACAAGAAAAAUGGCAACUCGUACUCUCGAGCAAGGAGCAUCACUGAAACACUUGCCAAGCCAAGCUCAUACGCUCACUCAUAGUGGCUCUACCUUCGAAACUGGGAAGCCCCCACUGUAAUCAAAGGCAUCCUUGCUAAAAAUGUAUGGAUGUUUAGCGCCUCCCUUGCCUGCAUCGUCGUAACUUGCCGAAGUGGAUGCAGAAUCCGCAUUAGGGUUCAGACCAGCAAGCUGCAAGAUAUUCUCGAUCUCUUUCACCACUUCACCCAUUGUUGGCCUGUCACUUCCGUUCUCUUCUACACAUUUCAAUGCAACGUCCACAAACCUAUCUAGACCUUUCAAUGUUGUGUCUAAACCAAUGCUUGAGUCAAGAAGCUCGCCGAGGUUGUACAAAUAUUUUGCUCUAUCCAAUGCCGUCCUUACCUCUCUCACCACGUACUUCCCCUUUUCUAUCGGCCUUCUUCCGGUUAAUAGUUCCAGCAUGACAACUCCAAAGCUGUAAACAUCACUCUUCUCUGUCAGCUGCUGGGUCAUGUAAUAUUCUGGAUCCAUAUAACCCUGGAAAAAAAAUACAAUAAUUAAUACAAUCAGUUCUAUCGUCCAGUCCGGUCGUGCCAAAGCUGCAUUUCAUUUUGUAAGAUCAAUCGUAGUUUAUGUAAUCUCGUAAUAUAACAUUUAACGAAUCGGCCGGUUUGCAUGCAGACACAGAGCCAAGAUGAAUAGAUGAUGAUUUUUUUUUCUUUCUUUUUAAUUCCAGGAUACCGUAAAAACAGUAAGAAAUAAUGGCAUGACGCAGAUGGAGUGGAGUAUGGAGGCACUGACCAUCGUCCCCUUCACUUGAGUUGUAACAUGAGUCAGAUGACCCGUUUCGCUGUCUCCCAUAGGCUUGGAGAGACCAAAAUCGGCAACUUUUGCAUUUAAACGCUCAUCUAAUAGUAUGUUGCUUGAUUUUAUGUCCCUGUGGAUAAUGGGAGGGUUGGCAAGUUCAUGCAGAUAGGCCAAACCUCUUGCUGCGCCAAGGGCCACUUUUAGUCUCCUCACCCAAUCAAGCCUGAUUCCCGUCUUCCCUGCUUGGAUUGGAAAGAACAAAAAGGAGAGUGCGAAUUUUCAUGAAAAAAAGAUCAAUCGUAGUUUAUGCACAAGAAUUAAAGCAAUAGAGGUUUGUUAAUUAGAUGGCAUACACCAAAUUUUCAUGAAAAAAAGAUUGUAUGGUAGCAAAUUCCAAGUAUCAGAUCGAAGCAUCGAUAGCUCAUAGGGGGUCGAUGAAAGUACCUGAUAGGCUUUCCAUGAGACUGCCAUUCGGAACAAACUCAUAUACGAGCAUUUGUUCACCUCUGUCAAAGCAAAAGCCUAUAAGGCUUACAACAUUUUUGUGGUGGACUCUGGAUAAAAGUUCAAUCUCAGUCUUGAAUUCAAGCCCACCCUGCAUCGAUCCUUGUUGAGCUCGUUUGAUGGCAAUUAGUUCUCCAGUAGGAAGAACUCCUCUAUAAACCUGUAAGGAUGUUAUCAUAUUUAAAUUCCAUGUUUUUCCGAAACCAAAAAAGAACAAAAAAACAUCAAUGCGAGGGAUUCUUCUUCUGGCAAUGAACUAGAGAAAGCGUUUGGAUCCCUUCAGCAAGACAGUAUCAGGGGAAAAUUUUUUUUGAAAGAAUCAGUAAAUAAUUGAAGUGCAGAACAAAAAAGCAUUUCACUGGAAAGGUAAGAACAUCAGCAAGUGUAUUUUGAAAUUAUACUAUGGUUAAGCAAACAUUUUCCAUGCUGCGUGAGAAAUGAGCCCAGUAAAAUUGAAUACUAACAGGCCUCUUUUUCACAGGUUUUUGUCGGGUGGAUUUAGGACAAAAUUGGCAUAGUUUACCAUGUAAAGAUUUUAGAAAACCAGACCAGAUGUAGUGAAGUUGUAAUAUAAGAAUCAUGAUCGACAAAAAUCAAGUGUUGUGCACCCCAGUUCCGAAGAGCUUGAGAUUAAGGGUUUUCUUGACUUAUAUCUAUAUGUGCAUCAGGAACAUGAAUAGUACAAAUGCAAAAAUCAAUGCGCGGAUACAUAAGAUGAGGCUUUCAGAGAGAAUCAGACUUACGUUUCCAUAACCCCCAGAACCAAUGUCAUUGGUUUCUGAGAAGUUAUUGCUGUAUUUCCUGAGCUCUUCAAAAGAGAAGUUUCUGGCUCCUUUUAAUUGAGGAACACCUCCGAUACUCUUGUUUGAUUCCCAGUGUGCUGAAAAAGAAACAAAACAAAUCCAAGAUAUUCCAUAACUGUAAACACAAAGUAAAUAAUCAAAGCCUUUUCAUACCAAAAGGAUUGUUGUGUUCAGUUGCCCUUUCUGCUCUCUUCUUUUGGCGAUGAGCAUAGAGCCCAGCGCCCAGCAAUAGCAUCAGGAGGACAGAGCCACCCGCCGCAGCUCCAAUGAUAACACCAGUGUUUGAUGAUUUUUUUGAUCCUGUAACUUCUGGAUGAGUAGAAAGAGGGAGGAGAGAGAUGUUACAAUAAGAAAGGAGAAACAGUAGGAUAAGUUUUUCUUGUAGUUCUGUACCAGUUUAUGAGACUACCUGCGAAAUAUAGAUACGCAUCACCAAUAAAAAAGAAAGGUCCGAAUUGCGAUGGAGGCUUGAAAGUCUGGUUGCUCAGCGCAAAACCAAUACUUGAAAUUCCUGUUCGAUUGAAACGAUCUUGGCCAAAUGGGAACACUUGCAGAUUCAAAACAAGGUAAGUUGAUGGAUCUCUUCUUGGAUGACUUAGAUUAACUGAAUCCACAGGAAGUUCAUGUAACUUGAAUGAGUCCAUCAGAGACUUUUCAAGAUCAGUGUAAUAAGUGUAGAUUUUCAGGUCCGAGAAUGAAGGAGCUCUGAACUGUAGAAGUCCUGUGUAUGGAAAUGCACAUCUACAGUUCGGACUGGAAAUCUGAUUAGCAAAGCACGAAGAAGCUACACAGUUAUUUGGAGGCGUUGAAUAGGAAGAUUCGGUUUGGGGAACACUGCAGUAACUUUCUGUCACUCCUGUUUCCUGACAAACUGGGUUGUCUACAAGUCUGCAAAAUUUUAACAGGUAAACAAGAUAAAGCUAGAAACAAGCAUACAUCCUGGCAGUGUAAUGGAUACAAACAAAGCAUCUUACAUUACGCCCACUUUUUCUACUCCUGGUUUGUUUGUGAAGCCAGAAAUUUGAUUUUCUCGCAAAUCAAUCAAUGACAGUUGGUUUUUAGAGCCUGUUCCAAUAUCCAAUGUGCCAUUGAGCUGGUUAUUUCUUGCAUGGCUGUCACCAGAAGUCAAAUCAGCUAUCAACUAGCUAAUUUCAUAACAUGGAAUUAUCUAUCUAAACCCAUUUUGUAUGAAUCCAAGAAAGGAAUAAGCUAAUUUUCGUUGAACAGCUUGAAGCUGACUCUUACACAGUCUGCAAAUUGGAAAGGCUAAAGAAGUCAGAAGGAAUCUGUCCUUGAAGUUGUGUUGUGUCCAUCGCCCUGCAAUAAAAAGGUAAUGAUAUCAUACUAAGACUGGGGUCUUAAUCUCUUUUUACGUUUUCAAAGUUCAAACAGCAACUAGGCACCCGUGCACUCGAUCAUUGUGAGCUUUGCAUGCAUGCACAAAGAACCCAAGGAGAUAUAAUAUGGCAAGCCCUGUAAAUGAAGCUGGUUCCAGCAAUGUAAAGGCAUGAGAAAAAUCAAGUCUUGUGCCUUUAUGAACAAAUGCAUAUGAAAUAUGAGGUUUCAUGAAGUGGAUGCUCAUAGUAUUGUUUACACAAACAGAUCAAAUAGCACAUUUUAUGAAAACCACAAAGAGAUAAUGAAGUUUAGGAUGAGCAAAGCUAAAUACAAAAAGCGGAGUUAUGAAAGAGUAUAUAGUUCCUUCAUCUACAAGUUAGAGAUUACUCAAGCAGAUAUUACUUACUCAGAUUGGAGGUUAGACUCCCAAGUUCUUAUGACUUCAACAGGAAUUUGUACCAAAAAAUAAAUAAAAAAUCAAUAAGAAGAUAGUACAGAAAGCCAAAUGUUACAGAAGGGCAGAACGAAUAUACAGCCCAAAAAUUAUGCUGCUUAAAGGUGUAUGUGGAGAUAGGUGAUUAGAAAAUAAGAACUAAUAAUUUAUAGAGAAACUUUCUUGAGUUUAAGAGAAAAGAAAACAAAUGAUUGAUGUGCCGAUAGCAUUUCAACACGCAGAUUGCUGUAAUCUGUCAAGUAAGUUAAUAUAAGAGCUCAUUCAAAGCAAGAUGAUGGAAAGCGUUUGUGCUUUUAAUGUUUGGGCAGAGAACCAUACAAUGUUGUCAAAGACUGCAAGGUUGAAAACCAUGGAGGAAAAUCUGUAGCGUCGAAACUAUUAUUGCUCAUGUCCCUGCAAACAACAUUUUCGUCAAAAUAAACAGAGAGAAAAAAGUAGAGCUAGAAUUCAUCUCAACAAUUGAUUUUAUGUACGUCUAAACCAUGUAAGAUCUUACAAGUAGGUGAGAAGAUCCAUGCGAGUAAGGUUGGGAAGUGGCCCAGUUAACCCAUUGUUGGAUAAAUACCUGAAAAUUGGACACCAAGCAACACACUCAACAUAGAAAAAACUCCCAUACGAGAUAUUAAUGACUUCAAUAAAACCAGUUGUAAUGGAAGGUCUCUCCCUCCAUACUUACAUCUCACUGACAGUGGUAAGAUUAUUGAUGUUUGAAGGAACAGCUCCAGUGAGCGAAUUGUUAUCAAGACGCCUGUAACCAACAUUGCAUAUUCAAUUACAACAUUAAGCAUUAGGAAUCUAAUUAAAAAAUAACUUGAGUCUCCAAUAUCGAUACUUACACAACCUCCAAAGACUUCACAAGGCCAAGGGUGGAAGGAAUGCUGCCUGUCAGCUUGUUGCUCUCAAGAAGUCUGCCGAAAGAAAGACAAAGAAACCAAAAGAAUCAAUCAAAGAAAUGCUUAAAUGGAAUUAUGAUUAUGAAUUAUGCAAUUCCAAAGGAUUCAAACGUUAAGUAAUCUUAAAAAUUCGAGAACAGAAAUAUGAUCUCAUAUCCAAUCUAUGAAGUAGUUAUUUAGCAUCAUCCAGCAUUUGAACUGAAUGGAACUUACAUAUGUAUGAGAUUCAUCCCUGAGCUAAAAAGUUUAGGCGGGAUUUGGCCUGAGAGCUGAUUCAAUCCAAGAUGACUGUAAAUAGGUUUUAGAGGAACAUUAACACAUGGAAAACAGAAUCGUCAAUUAUAGUUAGAAAGAAGCAAUGAGAUGGAUAGAACAAAGAGAAUCGACAUACAAGUGUUUUGUAUUAACCAGUAGGUCAAGGCCAGGAGUAGUCCCUGUAGAGACUGGGAUGGUCCCAGUAAGCCUGUUAUCAGCAAGAUCCAGCCAAUAAAGAUUAUCUAGAUUGCCAAGUGAAGGGGGAAUUGAUCCAGUGAACCCAUUAGAAUUGAGAGAUCUGCAGGUAAUACCAGUGAAGAGCUUUAGAAGAUGGUUGUUUAUGAAUCAUGAACAGUAAUUGAUUCAGUGAUGUUGCGGUAAAGCAUGGAAAGUGUUACAAGUUGAAAAAUACUUACAGAUAGGUGAGCUGUGGCAAAGAUCCUAAUGUAUCAGGGAUUCGACCAGAGAAACGACAGCCAACCAGUAUUCUAGAAUGGAAGGAGGGGGGGGGGGGAAUCAGGACUGAAACAAAUUGAGCAUCAGAUAACAUUAUAGCGCAACAGAGUUUCCCCUUACAAGUUUGUUAGCUUCUUCAAAUCCCCAAUUACUGGAGGAAGAGGGCCACUCAAUUCUGUGUUGUAGGAUAAAUCCCUGUAUAAAGAUGCAAUUAUUAGAAAUGUAUCAUAGCAAUCCUUUCCAAGGAAAUCAAUCCCUUUUUUCUAUCAUUUAAUAGCUAUAUCUGAAAUCAAUCCCUUGGCAACAGUUAAUCUAAGCGAUGCGCUUCUUGAAUACAAAAAGCUCUAUACGCGAGUGAGGCAUGAACUUAAUCAGUACUUAACGCAUAGCAUCAACCUCUAGAACAGUAAUCCGAGCACAUUAGUUGUAGAUUGGAUUCUUGGAUCCUUUUCAUAACAUAAAGAAAAAAAGGUAAUAGUGCACAGAGUGAAGACAUACAGAAUCUGCAAUUCUGACAAGCUUGAGAUGUCUCCAGACAGUGUCCCUUUCAAUCCCAUGCUUGCCAAUGUUCUGCAGAUGAGAAUAGUCAGAUUAAUCUAAAAAAGCAGAGGAAGGAAUGAUCUGCAAGCCUCAAUAAGCUGUACAAGAUGAAAUAAAGCCAAUGACUUACAUGGAAGUCACACGCGAAUUGGUGCACAAAAUGCCAUCCCACCUGCUUCCACAAGGGUCAGCCCCCACCCAUGUUGGUGGAACGUUUUCCCAGACAUCCUUGAGAGCUUUCAGAGCAUUAACUGCAUCAGGAAUCAAAAGAAUAUACAUAUAUUGAGGGUCUAUAAAUGGAAAUCUAAUAACAAAUUUACAAUAAUUAGUCUUAUUCCCCAGAUUGAACGAGCCUAAUGGACAAUUCUGGAGCCUAGCACCAGUUCCAACAAUCAUCAUAUAAGAACAGGAAAAGGCAUCCAAUGAAGGCUGGAUACACGAUCUGAGUUUGACAAAGUAUCUCCCAGCUCCAGCUUCUACUUUACAACCAGAAUUACAGAAUCAAAACCAAGUAAAUCAUAAGCCAGAAAUGAUUCCCUGACUCUUGGAACUGCAAAAGCAAGUGGAAUCUGGAGUCCUAAAUCUACAGUUCAUCUUAGUAUAUGUUAGACAAGAGGUCAUUAGACAGCUGAUACUAAUUUGGAUCAAAGUCCUAAAACAACAUGCAUGUUCUAAGUAAUUUACCAAAAACAAGAAAAAACUAACUGUUUAAAGAACUUACAAUCAUCAUUGUUAGUCACUGCUGGUGUGGUACAAACUUGAAUUAGAGCAACAACCAAGAACACAAGAAUUCUUGAACCCAUUUCUCAAGUAACCUUACAGGAAGCUCUUUGUUUUCAGUUGGUAAAGUCGAAAAACUGAAAUCCCAUUUAGUAUCAGCAGUUAAAUCACACACAUGAAGGUCUUCAAUUCAAACUGUUGAAAACUUGGCCUUCUUUUAUUUCCAGAUUAUACCACGUCAAACUCACACAAAAAAAGUCUCAAAUUGAAUCAUCUCCACACGCUAUUAUACCAUGUCAAGAGGAUUUGUCUUCAAGUUGAGAUGCUCAAUAGGAUUUGUCUUCAAGUUGAACAAUUUUGUCCAUUUCUUACUGUUAAAUAAUAUAUUUAUCUUGUUUUAUUUAUUAAAAAUAGUGUCAUAACUUAAAUUUUGACCCUUUUAUUUUAAUUAUUAUUAUUUUAUUUACUGAAAAUGAUAAAAAAAAUAAAUGAUGAAAAAAAUAAUGAUGAAAAAACAAGUAAAAUGAAAUAAAUAAAGAAUGAAUUAAAAUUUGGGUUAAGGGCAACAUGAUUGGAAUUUAAAGAUUUAAUUAAAUUUUUAACUAGUUUAAUUAAUGAAGUCAAGGGUUUUAUUGGAGAAUUGAUAAGUUUUGAGACUUGAUUAAGCUUGAAAUUGAUUUAAUUAAUCCAAUCAAGGGUUUAAUUGAAGAAUUGAUAAGUUUUGAGACUUCAUUAAGCUUGAAAUUAAUUUAAUUAAUCCAAUCAAGGGUUUGAUUGGAGAGUUCAUAAGUUUUGAGACUUAAUUAAGCUUGGAAUUAAUUUAAUUAAUCCAAUCAAGGGUUUAAUUGGAGAAUUGACAAGUUUUAGACUUAAUUGAGCUUGGAAUUAACUUAUUCAGGGACUUAAUUGAAGAACUAUUAAAGUUUGGGGUCACAAUUGCAAAAUUAAAAUCCAAAGACUACAUUGAAAAUGGAGCACAAAUGUAGGGGGCUAAUUAUAGUUUAAAUCAGGGGCUUCAUUACAAGACUUUCAAAACUGCACGGGUCAAAACGUAAAAUGGCCACCUUUUAUCUCCAAACGACGUCAUUUUGAAGACAUUGUUCAUCUUCUUCUUUAAAAUAGAGAUCAUUUUCAGCAGUAAAAGCUGAGAAACAUUGCAACAGUAAUCGUUGUCUGUUGGCUUCAGUUAUGGGUGCCUUAAUGGUUGUCGACCCUCAGCAUGUCGCCUGUUAACGACCCGCCAGACUCUAUAUAAACAAAUAAGCAUUGAAAAAACAAGGGUUGGUUAGAGAGAUAGAGACGGGAAAAAACCCUGAAAAGAGAUCGACACAAAGAAACCAGAGGGACUCUUAAGUGUUUUUUUUAGAACCCCAUACCAGAAGCGAACUUUCCCUGACCAGUACUAGCCUAAAACAACGAAGGUAGAAACAGACCGAGAAAAAGUAGAGAGAGUUUGAAAAACAUAGCACGGGGAGAAUUUCACAGAUGAGAAAAGAAGAAAUAGAAGGCAGGAAAGUAGAGGUAGAAGGAGGAUUUCCAGCUUCCUAUCAAUGGACGCCACCACUGAUCUUCGCCCAAAACGCUAACACUUCGGCGAAGCAACCUGCAACAAGGUAAGCUUUCUUUUUCUCUUCGUUUGCUUUCGAAACUUCAUUACAUUUAGCACUGUACGAAGGUAAUUAAUUACCUUCGUGCAGUGCCAUGCACGCAUGAAACUAGUUCAUGAAACUAGAGUCAAGAAUAAAAAUACUGAUUUAAUUGUUUUUUUUUGUUUUUUAUUUAACUACAUAAAAAAAUAUGUGAAUGCGUAAUGAAAUGAAUUUAUUUUAUUUUUUUAUUCACUAGCAUUAGAGUCAGGAAUAAAAAAAUAUUGAUCUAAAUUUAUUUUAUAGCUACGUAAUAUUUACCAACGCAAGAGUUAGAAUUAUGCGUAAUCGAAUAUUCACUAGCGUUAGAGUCAGGAAUAUCAUAAGUAAACCAUCAGAGCAUAAACCAAUAAAUAUUUAGCAAUUUAAGACAAAACCAUCAAUGUAGUCUGCCUCAGGCAGAAUGUUUAAGGGGUGAUAAUAUCUUCCCUUUUAUGUAACCAGUCUAGUACCAUAUAAUUUUUGUUGACCAGUUAGGGUUCCUAGUGACCAUAAUACUAGGGGCAACUCUUUAAACAAUACAUUUUCCCUUAAAAGAACCAGAUGCUAGAAAUAUGUUAUUUUUCCAUAACCAAGAAAAAUUUUAAGGCCGCCAUGAUAUGGGGUGCAACAAGUAGAAUAGUAUUUUUAGUUUAACCUAUACAUAAGCUCCUUUUAUUUAGGUUAAAGUAAGAACUUUAAUACAAAUCAAUAGAGGAGAAUUCUAGCAUUCUUCUCUUUCAUGUUUGUAUUUAUUUUUGUGUUAGUUAAAUUAUUUUAACAUCGUAUCAGAACUGGUUUUAUGGAACAAGGCUUAAUCCCAAACACAGCUUUUGUGGAUCCAAUUUUUUUUUGGACUGAUAUUUUGUCUUCCACUUCUGCAAAAUCUAGUAUUUUGACUUUCCUUCAAUUUCUGCAAUUUGGUAUUUAUGUUCUUUCUUUGCAAUUGUUUUGGUAUUUCAUCUUCUACAAUUUGUGUUGUGUUUCGGAGUAAUCGUAUAAUUUCAAGAGGAUAUUUGUUGAGUAUCUGUGAUAUCUGUUCAGUUUAUGCAAUCUGGUACUUUGUCUUUUAUCGUUUUUGCAUUCUGGUUAUUUUUGUUUGUUAAUUAUGGCUACCGAAAGAGAUGAUCCGUUUCAGUCUGUGAGUGUGAGGUUGGUUGGAAAGAAUUAUUCAUACUGGAGUUAUGUAAUUAUAAAUUUUCUUAAGGGUAAGAAGAUGCGGGGGUAUGUUAGUGGAACUUAUAUGAUACAUAAGAAUACUAAGGAGGGGGAUGUUGUUUUGAUAGAUACAUGGGAAGCAAACAAUGCAAAGAUCAUCACUUGGAUCAACAAUUCUAUUAAGCAUUCCAUAUGUACGUAGUUGGCGAAGUAUGAGACAACAAAGGAGGUUUGGGAUCAUUUACAAAGGUUAUUCACGCAAUCAAAUUUUGCAAAGAAGUAUCAAUUAUAGAAUGACAUACGAGCUCUUCACUAGAAUAAUAAGAGUAUUUAGGAGUUCUAUUUUGUCAUGACAGAUCUUUGGGAUCAAUUAGCUCUUAUAGAAUUGGUAGAAUUAAAGGCAUGUGGUGCUUAUAUUGAGCGUAGAGAGUAGCAACGAUUGGUAUAGUUUUUAACAGCACUUCGCAGUGAUUUCGAAGGACUUAGAGGUUCAAUUAUGCAUCGUUCACCAUUGCCUUCUGUUGACUUUUUGUUAGUGAGUUAUUGGCUGAAAAAAUACAUCUUCGGUCUUAUUUUGAAAAGAGAAUUCUUUCUGCUUCAAAUCUUUCUGUACUAGCAGUACCCUCUAAGCCAUCCUUUAAUCAUCAAAAUAAGCCUUACACAAGGGUUGACUUCGAUGAGUGUAAUUUAUGUAAGCAGAAGGGUCAUUAGAAGGCUUAGUGUCCCAAGUUGAGACAACAGAAUCAAGCUUAUAAGUAUGGCAGUCAGUCACAAUCUAAUGCUCAUAGACCAUCUCAGGGUUAUAAACCACCACACCAUAAUACUGCAGCAAUAGCUUCAUCAAGCUCUAUCACCGAUCCUAGUACUCUGGCUGAGCAAUUUCAAAAGUUUCUCUUCUUACAGCCACAAGCAAUGUUUGCUUCUUCUUCCAUAGGUUAGUUGCCUCAUAACUCCUCAGGUAUGUCACAUUUUGAAUAAGUCUUAGAUUUUGGUGCUUCCCAUCAUAUGUCUCUAGAUUCUUCAUCUUUUACCUAUGUGUCCCCUUCAUCCUCCAUUCUUGUUAUUAUUGCUGAUGGCACUCUCAUGCCUUUAACAGGUGUUGGUUCUGUUGUCACACCUCACUUGUCUCUCCCUAAUGUUUAUCUUACUUCGAACCUCAAAUUGAAUCUUGCUUCUGUUGGUCAAAUAUGUGAUUAUGGUGAUUAUUUAGUCAUAUUUUCUGGUUCUUUUUUUUUUUAUGUAUAGGAUCUGCAAUCUCAAAAGCUAAUUGGGACAAGCCGUAGGGAGAAUGGGCUAUAUAUUUUGGAUGAGUUAAAAGUGUCAGUUGCUGCUGCCACCACCACUGCUACUACUAUUGAUUUGUCUUCCUUUCGUUUGAGUCCUUCAUCUUCUAGUUUUUAUUUAUGGCAUUCUCGUUUAGGUCAUGUUUCGUCUUCUCGUUUAAGAUUUUUGGCAUCCACAGGAGCUUUAUAAAAUUUGAAAACUUGUGAUAUCUCUUAUUGUAGUGGAUGUAAACUAGCAAAAUUUUUCGCUUUACCUUUGAAUCGAAGUGUUUCUGUUUCUUCUUCACCUUUUGACUUGAUUCAUUCAGAUGUACGGGGACCUUCUCCCAUUGCCACAAAAGGAGGGUCUUGAUAUUAUGUUUCAUUUAUUGAUGAUCAUACUCGUUAUUGUUGGGUUUAUUUAAUGAAACAACGUUCUGAAUUCUAUAAGAUAUAUGCAGCUUUUUGGCUCUUGUGAAAACUUAACAUUCUGUUGUAAUCAAAUGUUUUAGGUGUUUGGGUGGGGAAUAUACGUCUAAUAAAUUUUGUCAGUUGCUUGCCUUAGAUGGAACCAUUCAUCAAACUUCAUGUAUAGAUACUCUUGAGCAAAAUGGUGUUGUUGAAAGAAAAAAUAAGCACAUUGUUGAAACUACUUGUUCUCUCUUGUUGUCUACUUCUGUUCCUAGUGAGUUUUGGGGAGAAAUUAUAUUUAUUGCUAUAAGUUUAAUUAAUACAAUCUCAUCCUCUCAUAGUUCAGGUUUGUCUCCUUUUAAAAAGUUAUAUGGCCAUGUCCUUGAUUAUUCCUCCUUUAGAGUUUUUUGUUGUACUUGUUACAUUCUUUGUCCUCAUGCAAACCACAGCAAGUUGUCCUCUCAUUCUGCUAUUUGUGUCUUUCAGGGUUAUGGUGAAGAUAAAAAGAGGUAUCGUUGUUUUGAUCUAAUAACUCAUAAACUUUAUGUGUCUCGUCAUUGAAGAGAAUGAUAUUCUUAUUCUAUUUAAAGCAAGCAGAGUUUACAAAUUAUACUAAUGGUUUAGACUAUGAAUAAGGAAACAAAUAAUUAAAGAUUCAAUUACAGUAUUUGACUAAGCUAACUGCCUAUUAUUCUGUACUUGAUUUCCUAUAUUGUGCUUGAUUGUAUUUAACACUCCACCUCAAGUUGGAGUGUAUGUUAAUUACACCCAACUUGCUAAGUAAAGUCUCAAACUGUGUGUAGCUUAAUGGUUUAGUAAAUAAAUCUAUCGGUUGAUGUGUAGUUUGAAUGUAGGUUGUCUGAAUCAUUCCUGCUUGAAUUUUCUCAUGUAUCAAAUGUUCGUCUAUUUGUCACGACCUGAUUCCCGGAUCUAUGACCGGCACAUAGCCAAGGUUCCCCUUCGAAGUUCCAUACCUAUGCGACCCCAAACUUAUAUACAAAAUUAUCCUUCAAAUAAGUCAAUCAGAGUUCAACGCAACAGCAACAACAAACUAACUUCAUAAUAUAAUUUGAUUGUCUUAAUACAAGAAGAGUUCAUAGAAAUUCAUAGUUUUGGAGCACUAACUAGACAUAAAGGAAAAUGUAUAAAUUUCAACAAAAGAGCAGGUUCUGAAGGUUCAACAAAAGUGACCUGCUAUCAUUCUAUAAGCCUGAAAAUGAUAAAUAAUGAGAGGGUGAGUUCAACAACUCAGUGAGUAGAUAAUGUUCAAUACACACACACAUGAGGUAAUACAACAAUGAGAAUAUAUAUACAAGUAUGGCUCUAGGUUCUUAAAGGAAAGUUUCUCAAAUAAGCCAUAACAAGAAUAUCAUAAGGUAAAACUCGUCAGAAAAUCAAAAUCCAAUGAGCAUGAGGUUUCAUACCAUUGGAUGAUCAAUCCACACAUGUUGGUGACUCCCCCGACCAACUAAGGUUCAGAUACAAUGUGAACAAAGACUAACACUACCAUGUUAGUAUGGGUAUUUUGACUGGCACACAAUAGGUUCAUAAUCAUAAUCAAAUAGACAUAUUCAUAUCUCAAGGCUUAACUCAUAACAUCAAUAAAAUGAGGAGCUAUCAAUUCAAAAGUCAAUUCAAAAUAUAUACUGGUUCAUAUCAAGAAUUCAAAUUCAACAAUUGAUUAUGCUCUAUCAUAACAAUGAUAAUAAUAAAAAUAUGUAUAUCAAGAAGCAUGAUCCAAUUCAUAUUAACAAAUCAAAUAUUUAUAAUAUUUCUCAUGCAUAUGGAAAAUUAUCCACUCACCUAACUCGAAAGCAAACAACACUCAAAAGCAGAUAUGAAGGAAAUCCUACUGACGUUCCGCCGGUAGAAUAUCAAGAUUAUCUGAAUACAAAGAAGACAUAUUCAAGAACGAAUUGAAAGAACAUAUAACCUAUUUAACAUACCUAACUAAGGGUAUAUUCCAUAACCUUAUAUGUUUUUAGUCUAAACUAGUUAUUUUCCCAAAAACCCAAAAUUAAACAGUUGUCCCUAAAUCUAAUUCAUAAUAAAACAAAUAAUAAGACUUGAUAAUAAUUCAUUAAAUAAACCUUAUUUAUUCAUCAAACCAAUCUACAAAAGCUAAUAUUACAACUAUGGACCAAUCUGGAAUUUAUCAUAUUUUUAAGGGUUAAAUUGUAACUUUGUCAAAUUGGAGGACCAAACUAAAAAUAUUAUAAAUUCAUGACUAUAGUGGAAUUAUGUCCAUAAUAUAUCUUUUAUUGUGUCCAGAAACUCUAAUUAUGCUCCAGGGACCAUUAUGAAAUUUUUCCAAAUUUUUAGGGUGAAAUUGUAAUUUUUGUCAAAUGGGAGGACCAAAUUGAAAGUGUUAAAAAUUCAUAACUAUACUGGAAUUCUGCCCAUAAUUCAACUUUUAUUCUAUCUAGAAUCUCAGAAUAUGCUCCAGGGUCCUAUCUAUAAUUUUUCCUAAGUUUGGGGACUUAACUAUAAUUUUCACAAAUUAAGGGACCAAACCAAAAUUUUGUCAUCGUCAACCUCAAAACUAGAAUUUCCACAUAAAACCUACUAUUAUCUCAAGAUUUAUAACUCAAAAUUCACCAUUUCACACAAAUCAUAACUCAAAAUCAUCAUCUUUACCUAAAAUCUUCAAAAAUCAAGUAAACAACUCAUUACCAAUAACAAUCAACUCAUAAUAUUCAAAUCAAUUCUUCAAUAAACCCAAAACACAAUCUUCAAAACCCUAACAUUUAUCAAAACAGAAAUUUAAAGCUCAAAGAACACACAUUUAUACAUUUAAAAACCUAAAUCUUACCUUUAAACUUAUUUACUCCAACUCUCUUCUCUUUCUCUUAUCUUUCCCUCUUUUCUCUUCUUCUUCUUCUUUCUCGCUUCUCUCCUGCCGUCCCUUACACUAAAAUUUCAUAUCCUUCUUUGUUUGUUUCUUUUUUCUAUUUAUACUUAUUAUUUUUAUUCAAUUACCAUACUACCCCUUAUUCAUUUAUACCCACUUUUAAGCCUUCAAGGGCUUUAUUACAUUUUCCUACUCAUUUAUUUCAAAACAUCACACUAUUUCUAUGUGCUUGGUUCGCUCAUGAAAGACAGGAUUUGUUGCUAUGUGCAUUGUUGCUUGAUUAUCGAAGAACAAGAUCAUUAGUUGUGUGUGAUUUAUCUUUAAGUCCUUUAAAAUGUUUUUCAGCCAUAUAAUUUCGCAGCAUGUAGUGGCCAUGGAGCGAUAUUUUUCCUCUGCACUUGAAUGUGAUAUUGUUGUCUGUUUCUUGGUCCUCUAAGAAAUUGGUGCCUCUCUAAGUAGAAUGCAGUAACUAGUAACUGAUCUUCUCAUGUCCUUACAAUGAGCCUAAUUAGCAUCAUAAAAUUCUCUUAAUUGAAGUGCGUAUGUGGAAGGUAAUAAGAUGCCUUGUCCAGGUGUUUGUUUGAUGUAUUUGAGCACUUUAUGAGCUGCUUCUAGAUGAGGUUGCUAGGGCUUGUCCAUGAACUGACUUAAGAUAUGCACAGUAUAAGUCAGGUCCGAUCUGGUUAUAGUUAGGUAGAUUAACCUUCCAACUAACCUUCUGUAUGUUGAUCCAUCCUCCAAAAGCUUUCCAUUGGUUUGUGUUAGUGACACGUUUUGUUCCAAAGGAAACCGGGAUGACUUGACACCUAAAAAUCCAAUAUCAUCCAGAAUGUCAAGGGCAUAUUUUCUCUGUGACAGAUUGAUGCCAUGUUGUGAUCUUGCAACCUCUAUGCCAAGAAAGUAUUUAAGUUGCCCCAAGUCUUUAAGUUUGAAUUGGUUAGACAAGAAGAGUUUGGUGUUCUCUAUGUCCUGCAAAUUAUUCCCAACUAAUAUCACAUUAUCAACAUAUAUUAGUAAUGCUAUAAAGUUACAAUGAUGAUUUCGAACGAAUAAAGAAUAGUCAGACAAAGAUUGAUGGAAUCCUGCAGCUUUUAGUGCACUGGACAACUUGAUAAACCAUUGUUUAGAAGCUUGUUUUAAGCCAUACAAGGAUUUGUGAAGUUUACAAACACGUGUCUCCCCUUUGCGUCCGAAACCAGGAGGAAAAGACAUGUAAACGUCCUUAUCCAAGUCUCCAUUUAGAAAGGCAUUGUUGACAUCUAAUUGAUGUAAAUGCCAACCACGCAAAGCUGCAACAUUAAGUAAGACGCAGACAAUGACUAUUUUGGCCACGUCAACGAAAGUUUCCUGGUAAUCAACACCUUCAACUUGGCUGUAGCCUUUAGCCACUAGCCGGGCUUUAUACAAUUCGACUAUCCCAUCGGCCUUCAACUUGAUUUUGCACACCCACUUGCAGCCGAUUAGUCGUUUGUGGGAUGGAAAUGGAACCAAACUCCAAGUCCUAGUGGCUUGUAAAGCAGCUAUCUCAUGGUGCAUGGCCUCACGCCAUCGGGGAUGUUGAACAACCUGUGAAAAACUGGUGGGUGCUUUGAGGAGAGUGAGCUAAGCUAUAUAAGCCUUGUGAUGGGGAGAAAGGUUAGCAUAAGAUAAGUAAGCAGAGAGGGGAUAAGCAGUACUUGAAGUGUGAACCAGGUUUGUGAAAGAUGUCGGGUCAAACCUUGAAGGGAGAGUCAUAGCGAGAUGGAUCUUGCAAGUAUGAGGGAGUGGUAAUAAAACGACUGCCAUGAUGAAGGGGAUGAAUGGGCACAAGGGAGGAGUAGGGGUGAAGGUUUUGUGAGGUAGAUAAAUCGAUUAUUUGUGGGAUAGGGGAGGCUGGAGAUGGAGGCUCAGUGGGAGGAGCUAGAGGGUUAUAUGAACUGGUGGAAGGGGUUGUCUAGGGUGGAGGUGGGUUGUUGAUUUCAUGACGGGUAAUAGGAAAAGAGGGUUCAAAAUUUAUGUCAAAGUGUGAGGAUGGAGUAGGAGUGGAAGGCCAGAAGGAUGGGGCAUCAAUAUUAGUAUGUGGGGCAGGUGAAAGGAAAGGAAAUAUGGUUUCAAAGAAAAUGACAACCCUAGAGACUAUGACCUUGUUCUUAGUUAGAUUAAAGACUUGAUAUCCCUUUUUUUCCCAUAAAGAUAUCCAAGAAAGAUACAUCGAGAUGCUCGAGGAUCAAAUUUUGAAUGACUUUGGGCAUGGGUGGAAACAAACAUAAGCAACCAAAUACUCAUAAGUGUGAGUAAUUGGGGACCGUGUUAAAUAGCUUUUCAUAUGGUGUUUUUCUAUGGAGAAUGAAGGUUGGUGUUCAAUUUAUAAGAUCAGCGGAAGCAAGAAUAACAUCACCCCAAAAUUGAUUAGAAAGACCGGCCUGAAUAAGUAAGGCACAUGCCAUAUUUAGCAAAUGCCUAUGUUUGCGUUCGGCAACGCCAUUUUGUUGUGGAGUAUUAAUGCAACUAGUUUGAUGAAUGAUACCUUUUUUAGCGUAAAAACUAUCAAGUUUGAAUUCAUGACCAUUGUCACUACAAAUCAUUUUAACUUUGGAAUCAAAUUGAGUUUCAACCUUGUUGAUGAAGGUGACUAGAAGAUCCCUAGUAUCUGAUUUGUGUUUUAUAAGAUAAACCUAUGUGCAUCUAGUGUGAUCAUCAACGAUAGUAAGAAAAUAUUUUGCAACUCAAAUAUAAGCAGCUUUAUAACCACCCCAAAUAUCAACAUGAAUUAAGGCAAACAAAGAUGUAGUAGUAAUAGAACUUGAAGAAAAUGGAAGUCUUAUUUGUUUUGCUAACAGACAGAGCAAGCAUUUGCCGUUAGAAUAAGAAUUAAUUUUAGGAAAUAACUAAGAGACUAUGGCUGAGGGAUGCCCAAGACAUUGAUGCCAAAGGUUCGGGUUUGGAGUUUUGGCAUGGUUGCAUGCUCCUUUCUUGGCUUGGUCAGGAAAGUAGAGACCCUCCCGUUCAAUUCUCGUCCCAAUCAUCUUCCCCGAACAUAGGUCCUGAAUCACAUAAAAUUGGCUUAGGAAAAUGGUUACGCAACAAGAAUCAAUGCUAGCUUGCUAAUUGAAAUUAAAUUCAAUCAAAAAUAUGGGACACAUAAAACAUUGUCAAGAAUCAAAUCAGGAGAUAGAUUAACUCUUCCUAUAUGAGUUACUUGUGUCAUUGAUCCAUUUGGUAAUUCAACAGUGCGGCCAUUAACAAGUCUUGAGUAUGUGAGUAGGUUCUGAUCACAAAUCAUAUGAUUUGUGCACCCACUAUCCAAAAUCCAUGUACUUCUGUUGCCAUUAGAAAUAAUUGAAAAAGCUUUACCUGAGAGCUCAUCAUGAGUUGAACAAUUACUAACAUGAUUGGCAAAGGAUGUUUUAAUUUUCAACAUGCUAAGUAUUUGUGUGCACUCUUCAGCUGUGAAAGGGAAAUUCAUCUCCUUUCUUUCAUUCGUGUGUGAUGCAUUGGUUUCCCUUGGAAAUUGCCACAUUAAACUCAGCUUCAGUCACUACUUUCUUCUUUCGACAAUACUCCGCCGUAUGUCCCUUCUAGUGGUAGAAAGUGCACCUCAGAUGUGCACGACAAUCCUUGGUGGUGUGGUUUGUUCUAUUACAUCUGGAGCAUCUCGGUUCAGUUUCAGACUCAUGGCUUGACUUCUUUACAGUAAAGAAAACAACCUCUGGUUGAGCAUGGCCUUACCCGGCUGUCACCUCUAAUUGUUUCUCAUGACGAAGAACCAAUGAAUAUGCCUUGUUUACUGUAGGUAAUGGAUCUUGUAGCAGAGUGCUGCUACGAACACCCAUGUAUGAUCAUUAAGACCCAUGAGGAAUUUCAUGGUUUUCUGUGUGUCUAGAUAUAUAGCCACUUCCAUUAUUGAUCCACAAUUGCAUGUUGGAAAGGUGCAGAGUGCAUUACGCUCAUCCCAUAAACCUUUCAGCUUUGUGAAGUAAGAUCCUACAGACAUGUUGCCUUGUAUACAGUUGUGAAUUUCAUUCUCGACAUUGAAUAAUUGAACCACAUUCACAUGCGAGAAUCAUUCUUGUAAAUCAAGCCAUAUUUGUCUAGCAUAUUUGCAGUUGAUGACGUAACAACCAAUUCUUAACCAAACUACUACACCGAUUGGAUUAUUGAUGUUAAUCUAGUUUCUUCUCAUCAGGCUCCUUCAUUGAGCCAUUUAUGAAUCCAAUUUUCUUUUUGAUUAUCAGAGCCAUAGUCAUGGAUUUGCUCCAUGUGCUAUAGUUGUAUUCAACCAAAGGUUGUGGCACAAGGACAACACUAGGUUGAUCUGAAAGGUGAAGGUAAAGCUAGUGAUCAACCUAGUGAUUGGGAUGAUCCCAUCUUGUGCUUGAAGUUGUGCUUCUUUGGUUUUCGUCUCCCAUAGAAGUCGGCUAAAGGGUUUGUGUUUUAUUUUGAUACCUAGAUUAAUGCUCUGAUACCAUGAAGAGAAUGAUAUUCUUAUUAUAUUCAGAGUAAGUAGAGUUUACAAUUUAUACUAAUGGUUUAGACUAUGAAUAAGUAAACAAGUAAUUAAAUAUUCAAUUAUAGUAUUUGACUAAGCUAACUACCUAUUAUGUACUUGAUUUCCUAUUCUGUUUGAUUUCCUAUAUUGUGCUUGAUUGUCUUUAACAAUCAUGUUGUCUUUCUUGAGCAUAUACAUUUCUUUUCUAUUCCAUCCACUACUCAUAACUUGACUAGAUCUGAUAUUAUUCGUAUAGAUCCAUUUUUUGAGGAUUCUUAUAAUAUAUCAUCACAGGUUCCUAGUACCUCAGAUACCCUUUCCCAUGUUAAACCAAUUUGUUCUCAUCAUCCUGCAAGUACUGACACUUUACUCUCUAGCACACCUGAAGCUCCAUUCUCAUCUACAGCCCCUCAAGCUUCAUAUGAGAUUGUGGAUCUAUCUCUAUGUCAAUCCAUAUGCAUUUGUAAGUCCACAAAACUACCAGAUUUUGCUUAUUCUUAUUAUUCUUCAUCAUUUACUUCCUUUUUAGCUUCUAUUCAUUAUCUCUCUAAGCCCUCUUCCUAUAAAGAGGAAAUUCUUGAUCCUCUUUGACAACAAGCUAUAGAUGAGGAACUUUCUGCUUUAUAUAAAACAAAUACUUGGGACUUGGUUUCUCUACCUCCUAGUAAGAGUGUUGUUGGUUGUCAUUGGGUGUAUAAGAUCAUGACUAACUCUAAUGGGUCUAUUGAGCGAUACAAAGCUACGUUGGUUGCAAAAGGUUACUCUCAACAGUAUGGUAUGGAUUAUGAGGAGACAUUUACCCCUAUUGCAAAAAUGACUACUAUCCGUACUAUUAUUGUUGUAGCUUCGGUUCGUCAAUGGCAUAUCUCACAACUUGAUGUUAAAAAUACCUUCUUGAAUAGAGAUCCUGAAAGCAUUUGUAAACUCUAGGUAUGUUUGUAAGCUCAAGAAAGCGUUAUAUGGUCUCAAACAAGCACCUCGUGCUUGGUUUGAUAAGUUUUCUAUUGUGAUCUCAUCUCUUGGAUUUGUUUCUAGUAGUCAUGAUUCUGCUCUUUUUAUUUAGAGCACUAAUGCAAGUUGUAUCAUUUUAUCCUUAUAUGUUGAUGACAUGAUUAUUACUGGUGAUGACAUUGAUGGUAUCUUAGUUUUGAAGACAAAGCUGGCUAGACAGUUUGAAAUGAAAGAUUUGGGUUCUCUUCGAUAUUUUAUGGGUAUUAAGGUAGCUUACUCACCUAGAGGUUACCUUCUUUCUCAAUCAAAAUAUGCUGCAUAUAUUCUUUCUCAUAUGUUGUUCAUGUUGUUAGUCAAUUUGUUGCUUCUCCUACUAUUGUUCACUGGGCAAUUGUUCUUCGUAUUUUACGAUAUCUUCGAGGUACAGUCUUCAAAGCCUCUUACUUUCAUCCAUCUCUUCCUUGAAGCUGUAUGCAUAUUUGAUGAUGAUCAUGGUAGUGAUCCCACAGAUCGCAAAUCAGUUACUGGUUUCUGUAUCUUUUUAGGUGAUUCUCUUAUCUCUUGGAAAAGCAAGAAAAAAUAUAUUAUUUCUCUAUCCUCAACCGAAGCAGAAUACCGUGCUAUGACAUCUACUACCAAAGAUGAUUAUUUGGUUAUGUUGGUUACUUCCGGAUAUGAGAGUUUUACUUUCUCAUCCUACUCAUAUGUUUUGUGACAACCAGAGUUUUAUUCAGAUUGCUCACAACUCAGUUUUUCAUGAACGAACUAAGCACAUUGAGAUUGAUUAUCAUCUUACUUAACAUCAUCUCAAGCAUGACACCAUUACUUUGCUUUUUGUUUCUUCUUCCUUGCAGAUUGCAAAUUUCUUUACCAAGUCACAUUCCAUUUCUUGUUUUCGUUUUCUAGUUGACAAACUCUCGAUGCUUGUAACUGCAAAACCCUUUAAUAGCAUAAAUGAUAUCUAGAAGUACAACUCUUAAUAUGAUAAAACAUGGAAUGAAAAUCUUUACAUGUCCCCAUCUUUUACCUGUCUCAAAAUUUAUAUCGUGAAAGGACAUGAAUGGGACAAUUCUGUUCGUAUGAAUCACAUACUAAAUACAAAGACAAUUUUCAAGUUUACAGUCAAUAGAAGAACCCACCAAAUGGUUUCUUGCAUAUAGUACUGUAGUGAUACUCGUGGAAAGAAUGCUUGCUUCAGUCCCGCGCUGAUUUGCUUGACCAAUCAGAAUAUAUCCUAGAUUGACGGAGAGCGUGUUGCAAAUAUGUUUAUGGACCGGAUAUAUAAGGCCAAUUUGGUUAUUACUUGACUUGCUGCUGCCAUUGUUAUUAACAAGCAGUUGGUUGCUAUAGAGACAAAAACUUGUCUAUCUGACAACAGUAGAGAAUGAUUCAUGAAGAUAUCAGAAUUCCUUCCAAACGAAUCAUUCCUUCUAAUUGCAAACACAUGGAUGGGUCCCCUCCUCUCCAUGAAUGCUUACAACAAAUCAUUCUCUUAGACUUGACAGCGCCUGACCUAGGAAGCAAACAUAUUGAUCCCUGGGGAAGACGGCACUGCAGUUUCUCAGAUGAUGCAAACAAUUACUACAGUACACAAGAAAGGUAAACCCAAGAAACAGUAUCAUAAAAGGCAAAAAGGUCGUGAAAAAAAUGAAAAUAGUUGAAACAGUCAGCAAUUCUUAACCACAACAGCAGUUCGUUUUGUCCUCUAAUGUUAUGAGAGAGAAUCGUUGUAAUUCUUCUACUAUCUUUAAUAUUAACAGUAAUAAUUGAAAUUAAAGGGUUCAAGCUCUCAUCCCUUUCCAUUACAUAUUAUAGUUUUAAGCCCCGGUCGGGGACCGAAUCAAUUGUUUUUAUUAAAAAAACGUUUCUUAGUAUAUAUUAAUUGGACCGAGUUUAACCGCAUCAGCCUCUCACAGUUCAUUUCAUUGUGGUUUCAAUACAGUUUACUGUAACUGCAUCAGGAAUGGGGCAGAACAAUAAAAGAUUUCCAUGAUUCAAUGACCGUCAGAGUUGUCUAGUUACAUGGAGUAUGGAGGAUCCAUUAAAGCUAGCAAAGAUCUCUACUAAAUCAAAUAGUUGUUUGAAACUGGGAAGUGUCCGGCCCCACUGUAAUCAAAGGCAUCCCUUGCUUGCAUCGUCAUAGUUGUUUGCUAGUCAUUUAAAUUGACAGAAAUAAAUUUUGGCCAGUCAAGAGAUUAGAGCCAAAGAAAACUCUACAAAAUAUUUGAACUCACUCGUGGAAAGAAUGCAUGCAUUCAGUCCCGCGCUGAUUUGCUUGACCAAUCAGAAUUUUUACCUGAUUUGUUAGUCAGAGGAAUAAUAUAUCCUAGAUAGAUUGAUGGGAAAGUGUUGGAAAUAUGUAUAUAGAACAAAUAAAUAAGGCCAGAUAAAAAUAUAUCAUCCUAAAAUAUCGAUGGAAAAAAUCCAAAUUUUAAUUUUGUUUGUAUUUCUAGUAGUAAAUCAUGCAUUGGCUAAAGGAUCCAUGAACCUGUCAACAUAAAGAAAAAUAUCGAAUACCUUUUGUUUUUAUACACACACACACAUCAACUCGAAUUAGACUUUUCCCAAUUUUUUUAAUAGCUAGAUUUUAUACAUAAAUGACUAGCCAUCGUCAACACUUGUGCUCAUCGCAUCACCAUACAGCUCAGCACACCAAGAAAACGAAUCUCAUAUUUGCUCGGUUGGUGUGCUUACACGGUCAUCAAGGUCAGCCACAAAUGCGACCUUGGCUCUUGCAGCUCUGAUCAACUCUCGCAUUCAUAUCAAGGAGCAAGCUCAUGUUCUCAACCUUCAUUAUCUUUUCAUGAUCAUCAACAUGAUGAAUCUGUGGUCAAGGAUCUUAUCAGUAUGCUUGAUUCAACUAACUGUUUGGUUGGGUUAUUUCACUAGGCUUCACAAAGAAUGGUGAAGCGUAACAAUCCUAGAUAUAUAUACAAGCUUCGAUUGAAUGAUAUCAGUGGUUUGGUUGUUGGAGAUAUUGGUUAUUAUCAUUCAGAACGAGAUAUCAUCAUCGAAAUCUUGGCAGGGACUUUGCAAAGGAUCUCAAGAUUACAUCAAAAAAUUAUUUCCUUGCAAUAUUCUCUUCUUUUUCCCUCCGAUGAAGAUGGUAAUCAGACUAACAUUAGCUUUGCCAACCAAGAUGACCAGGUUUCUCGAAAACGCUAAGAAGUUUCAAUGAGAGCUUUAUAUGCUUAUCUUCUUCAUGAAGGAGAAUAUGGUAAAGACACUAUUACAAAAGACGAUCGUCGUCUUUACCAUUAGUUCUUAGUCGAUGCAUUUACAAAUGUCGAAGAAGUUAGGCUUGAUUGCAUUAGACCAAACCAGAAUGAUCUUGGAACUGAGCUCUAUCAAGACAUUAAUAAAGUUGUUCUUAGAGAGGAUGUUCAAGGGUUGACAACUGGAAAAAUUAUUGCCCCCUCUUCUUUAACUGGCAGUCCACCAUACAUGACAAACAACUACCAAGAUGUCAUGGCUAUUUGUAGAACAUAUAGAAAUCCAGAUCUAUUCAUUACGUUUACAUGCAACACAAACUAGCUUAGAAUUAGAAGAGAGCUUAGAAAAGUGAGUUUAUAAGCAUGAAGACAAGCCUGAUAUAAUUGCACCUGUUUUAAGAACAAAUGAAGAAAAUUAUGAGUGAAAGAGUUUCACUGUUCUUAUUAAUUACAAGUAGAGUUACACACAUAUAUAUAGAGAAAUCUUUCGCCAGCUAUUCUUACAAUCCUUCUAGGAUAGAUAUCCUAUUAGCAACAGGAUAUACAUGUACAUGUCAGGUCUUUAACUUAUGAUUAUAUAUGGAAUUAUCCUUAAUUGCUAACGACCCCCACAAUUUCAGAAACUAAUGAGAGUGUCACGACCCGAAUCCCGGGUCCAUGACCGGCAACACAGGAGCGGUGUAGAAAGGACACCCCACCUACGGUAAGCUUCAAAACAGACAUAUCAAAAGAACAAUUUAUUUAAAAAUACACAACAUUUUAUAAUCUUUAGAAAUAUUAUAUUAUUCAAAACUGAUAAAACCAAAAGAUAGUUUAAAACUCCUCAUCAGUAAUUAAAACAAAAAUAAUAAUCCAUAAUACUUAUUACAUUCUCAAAAUCCAAACUUAAUUAAAACAAGGUAAUAGUGGAGCGUCUAAGACGUCGAAUCAAAACUAAAAAUGAAAGCCUCGCAAAAUAAGCAAAGCAUACCGACCAAAACUGAAGAAGCAGGAACACUCUACAAGUCCAACUGCUAUCAGAAACUAAGAACCUGAAAUAAUAUUAAGAAUGAGAGGUGAGUUCAAUCAACUCAGUGAGGGAAUAAUAUUUAAUAUACAUUUUAGAUAUUAAUAGUUUGCAAGAUGAUUUAUCUUGAUAUACAUAUACAUAUACAUAUAUAUACUAAACAUAUUAUCAUAACGUAGUGGAAUACAUGUCAGAGAUCAGAUGACACCCGAAGGAUACCAGAUGACACCCGAAAGUGACCACUGUGGGAUGAUCAGUCGCCACAGGUUGAUGCCUCUCUCACCAGCUAGGUAUACAGAAUACUAUGUGCACAUAAGCUAACUACUCUCUGUUAGCAUGGAGUUACUAACAAGUCCUAUAUCAAGGCAUAAUAGAUAUUUACAGAAUCAUCAAAGAUAUGUAUAUCAUACCAAAUAGAAUUUAGUUCGAAAGAUUGCGAGUGAAAAUUCAAGAAUAAAUGAGUACUCGGAAAAUAAAGCAACAUAUAUAAAUAUUCAAGAAAUUAACUAUUUGUACUCAUUGUAUAAUCAACAUAUAUAUUUAUUUAUAAUAUAUGCAUAUUAAAGAUUAUCCCACUCACCCGGAAAAUAUAGAACUAAAAGGAAUAUCAAAUGAAAGACCCGAAAAACCUAUUGAGGAUAGUUAGGAGAACCUACAAUAAAUAUAUGAAAUAUACUCAAAAGCAACUCAAAGCAACACAAUUAAAAGAUUUCAAUGCAUAAAGAAAACCAGGUUUAGUCUCCAAGGUUUAGGGACUAAAACGACAAUUAUCCAAAAUAGGGACCAAAAUGUAAUUUUACUAAAAUUGGAGGACCAAACUAUAAAUACAUAACCAUACUAAAUUUUCAUUUUCACCCAUAAACCAUCCUAAAUUCUGUAUAGAACGAAUCAGGGACCGAAUUGUAAUUUUCAUAAAGUCGAGGGACAAAAAUGUAAAUUCCCAAAAUUGAGGGACCAAACUAAAAAUAUUCCAAAUCAAUUAUCAAACUGAGAUUCAUCAUCAUUAACCUCAUAAUAACACUUUCCAGAAUCUCAAAAUACAUUUAGGGGUCAAAUUGUAAUUUUUUCAAAGUUUAGGGACUAAACUGAAAUUUUCAUAAAUCAAGGACCAAAAUAAAAUUUGGUCAUCUUCAACCUCAAGACCAUUCUGUCUAGAUUUUACAGCAAGGUAAAAAUGAAUUUCUUAACCCCAUAAGAAUUAAUUUAAACAAAUCAACUCACAAAUUCUUAUUUCUAUCAACAUACUAAUUAAUCACCUAAUAUUAAAUUAACCCUUAAUAAUCAUAAAUCAAUCUUAACAACAUAAACUUCUAAGCCUUAUAAACCCUAAUAUCUUCUUUAAUCAUUCUAUAAACAAACUAUAAUCAAAAGUAAUAUGAAAGAGAACCACUUACUUGCUAUUUCACCUUUCUUGAACCGAAAACUCAAGAUCAAAAACUAAAAUCUUAGGUUUGAGGAGGGAAGGGUCAUGGCGGCUACAAGAAUUAGAAGAGAGAAAAGUAAUUCUCUUGCAACUCUUCCUUAAAUACCUAGGUUAACUUAGGUUGGGUUUGGACUGACUUGGACUUAGGUUUGGGCCAAAAGUUUGGGUCUUACAGAGAGUGUACAAGCACAGGACACAAGAUAUUUGCAGGACUCAAGUUGGAUCCAAAGGAUUAAUGGAUCCAAGCUUGCUCAAUAGCUAGUGAAAUUAAGUAGACAACAAAACUUUGGUAAACACAUCUGCCAAUUAAUCAUUUGUACGCACAUAAUGAGUAGCAAUAAGUUUUGACUGAACUUGUUGCUGAAUGUAGUGACAUUCAACUUGAAUGUGCUUAAUUUGUGCAUUCAUGAAAAACAGGAUUAGAUGCAAUGUGUAUGGAUGAUUGAUUAUCACAAUAAAGAGUCAUGAGAAUACUGCACGGAUAGCCUAGAUCGAUUAAAAGGCGAUUAAGCCAUACAAGCUCACAUGCAGCUGAUGCCAUAGAGCAAUAUUCAGCCUCAGCGCUAGAAUGAGCCACCACACGUUGUUUUUUACUUUUCCACAAAACUAGGUUACCACCAACAAACAUUCAAUAACCCUUAGUUGAUCUACAAUCAAGUGCAUUUCCAGCCCAAUCAGAAUCAAAGUCUCCUAUAAUGUUCGUAUGUCCGUUAUUAUUCAUAAUGAUGUCACGACCAAUAGAUCCUUUCAAAUAUCAAAGAAUGUGUUUCAAACCAUCAUCUUAAAGCAAGUCUACAACAUAUUUUUUUUUAUUUAGAAAUAACCAUUUGCUAUUAGUUGUCAUUUCAAUUCCAAGGAAAUACUUUAAAUGCCCAAGAUCCUCGAUUGCAAAUUGGAGUUGGAGAUUCUUUCUCAACAAAGCAAUAGAAUCAAUAUUAUUACUUGUGAUGAUGAGAUCUUCGUAUAUAUAAGCAUCAUCAGAUUAUCAUUUGUAUUAAGUCGAACAUAAAGUGAAGAAUUGGCCAAACUCCUUGUAAAACCGAGAGCUUCAAGAGCAGUACUUAGUUUAGCAUGCCAAGCAUAAGGACUUUGUUUCAACCUAUAAAUAGAUUUAUAUAAUUGACAAACCAUUUUGGAAUCUCCACCUUAAGGAUGUCCUGGUUGAAGCUUCAUAAAAUCUUCUUCUUUAAGAUUUCCGUGUAGCAAUGCAUUUUUAACGUCCAUUUGUGACAUUGCCCACCCAUUAUUGAUAGCUACAGAUAAAAAAACUCUGACAGUGGUCAUUUUGGCAACUGGGGUGAAUGUCUCUUUGUAAUCAAUGCCAAAUUUCUGAGUAAAUCCUUGAGUAACAAGAUGAGCUUUGUGUUGAUCAAUCGAGCCAUCAGAAUUGAAUUUAGUUUUGAAUAUCCAGCAACUCCCAACUGCAUGUUUUCCAUGAGGAAGAGGAACAAUACUCCAAGUUUUAUUUUCCUCGAGAGUUGUCAGUUCUUCUCCCAUAGCCUUUUGCCAGAUACCUUGAGAUUGAGCUUCUUAAAAGUUUUUGGGUUCAUGAACACUGGAGAUCGUUGAAAGGAAAGUCAUGUGCAAUGGUGAGAAUCUUUGAUAAGUCAAGAAUUUAUUAAUUGGAUACCUGACUGUAUAGACAACAUAAUCUUGCAAUUUAGCAGGAGGGUGAUGAGUUCGUUAUGGAUUACAUCGCAGAGGUUCUGCUCUAUGUUGAACAUUGGAUAAUUGACGUUCCAUGGAGUCGAUAAUACCUGCUGGAAGAACAUUACCAUAUGACUCGAUGUUGUUAUUCGAGACAGUCAUAGGGGAUGAUGAAUUUGUAGUGUGAUCCGUAGCUGGUUUAAGCAAAUCAAUAGAAUUCUCAAUGUGAGGAUCAACACUAAGUAGGGGGGAAAUCCAAGAGUAUAUCUUCUUGACUAGUGCCUUCAAAAUAAGGACUAGUUUCAACAAAUCGAACAUCUCUAGAGAUAUAUAGCUUCUUGGAUUUAGGCUCAUAACACUUGUACCCUUUCUUAGGUUGCAAAUAACCCAGGAAUAUGCAUUUAACAGCUCUGGGAUCAAGUUUAUCACGUUGAGUAACUGGUACAUGUAAGUAACAAGUGCAACCGAACACUUUAAGGUAUGACACAUCUUAUUUUUUGUCCUUCAAAACUUCAAGAGAACAUUUGAAAUCCAGCACUUCACUGGGUAAAUGAUUUAUAAGAUGAGUGGCAGUACAAUUCUCAUAUCUAUAUUGUUUUGUAACAGGGAUAUCACAUAAUCAAGGUGUUUAGGAAAUCCCAUUCCAGGGGUUCACAUAUUUUAAAAGGUGCUUUCUAAUAGUAUGUCUUAGGUAUUAUGUUGAAUAUUUGCCAUUCAGCAUUUUUGUAAGGACUUGUAAUGAAAAUUGUAAUGGGACACGGAUUUGGAUUUGUGAAUAUAUAGAUACGAUGUUAUAAAUAUAUUAUGUGGUAUUCUCUCUUAUAAGGAUGUUGUGUUGUAAAAUCACAUUAGGAUCAUAUGAAAGAAACAACUAGCUGUGUAAAAUUGAUAUUCGGCACUCGGGUAUAAACUUUUGUUGAUAACGAAACUAGGACAAGAAUGCAAACUCAUGCGUAUGUCAAUAUAAAGUACUGUAAGUGUAUGAAUAUGAAAAUAUAAUAUUGCGGGCAUGUGUAUUGAUCUUUUAUCUUAUGAGAAUGUUGAUUUAUGAAAGCUAUGUCCAUAUGAUGCCAUGAUAAGGAAGGGAACCUAAUUACUAAUUCAUGAAGUGCCAUUGUGAGCAUUAUCGAGAACCAAAAAAAAAUUCCAUCAAUUUUGGCUUUGAAAAAGCCAGGUCAUUACAAAACAACUCAAGGUAGACAGAAGAGUUAUGUGGAUAAGAGGAGGCAUGCCUUAGAGUUUUCAAUGGGUGAUUGUGUGUUCUUGAAGGUAUCACUAACCAAAUAAGUAUUCAGAUUUGGAAAGAAAUGCAGGUUAAGUCCUUGAUUCAUUGAACCGAAUGAGAUUCUAUAGAAAGUUGAAGCAGUUGCUUAUAUUUAGUAUUUUCAAAUUGGUUUGAUGAAUAAUUGAGGGUUAUUUAGUGAAUCAUUGUCAUGUAUUAUUAUUUUUUCUUAUGAAUUAGAUUUCGGGAAAAUUGUUUAAUUUUUGGGUUUUUGGAAAAAAUGACAAGCUUAGUCCAAAAACAUAUAAGGUUAUGGAAUAGACCCUUAGUUAAGUGUAUUAAAUAGGUUUUAAGUUCUUUUUGAAUCAUUUUUUAGUAUGUCUAUUUUUAUAUUCAGAUAAUCCUGAUAUUCUACCUACGGGACAUUAGUAUGAUUUCCUUCGGUAAUUGCUUUUGAGUUAGGUGAGUGGAUAAUUUUUCAUAUGCAUGAGAAAUAUUAUAAAUAUUUGAGUUGUUAAUAUGAAUUGGAUCAUGCUUCUUGAUAAUAUAUACGUUGGUUAUUAUCCUUGUUACGAUAAAGCGUGAUUAAUUAUUUAAUCUGAAUUCUUGAUAUGAACCAAUAUAUAUUUUUAAUUGACUUCUGAAUUGAUAGCUCCUCAUUUGAUUGAUGUCAGGAGUUGAGCUUUAAAAUAUGAAUAUAUUUGUUUGAUUAUGAUUAUGAACUUAUGGUAUGCCAAUCGGAAUACCCAUGUUAACAGGGUAGUCUUAGUCUUUGUGCACAUCGUAUCUGAACCCUAGCUGGUCGGGGGAGUCAUCAACUUGUGUGGACUGAUCAUCCCACAGUACGGAGCCUCAUGCUCAUUGCAUUUUUAUUUUUUCACGAGCCUUACCUUAUGAUAUUCUUGUUAUGGCUUAUUUGAGAAGCCUUCUUAUAAGAACCUAGACCCAUAAUUGUAUAUAUAUUUCUCAUUAUUGUAUUACCUCGUGUAUGUAUAUUGAAUAUUAUCUACUCACCAAGUUGUUGAACUCACAUUCUCAUUAUUUAUCUUUUCCAUGCUUAUAGCUUGUAAGCAAGUCACUUUUGUUAAACCUUCAGAACCUGCUUUUUUUGUUGUAAUUUGUAUUUUCCUUUAUGUUUAGUUAAUGCUCCACAACUAUGAAUUUGUAUUAACUCUUGUAUUAAGAUAAUCAAUUAUAUUAUGAAGUUAGUUUUGUUGUGUUGAACUUUGAUUGACUUAUUUAAAGGAUAAGUUUGUAUGUAAGUUUGGACAGCCACGCCCUAAGUCUAUCUCUUUCACGCUAAGUCGUCGCCCUAAGUUUGUAUGUAAGAGAAACCCUAAGUCUAUCUCUUUCACGCUAAGUCGUCGCCCACAUGAUCCAAAACCUUUUCUUCUCCCUCACCCAAGUGGCUCACUAGCCCCUCGGCAAAAAAAAAUAAAAAAUGGUCGCCCCCUCACGAGGCCCCCCUUCUCUAUGACAAAAAAAAAAAACAAAAAACAAAAUGGCUAGCGCCCCUUUCCCCCUAGCUUUUUCCCAAUCUUCUUCUCCUUUCCAGCGGUCGCUCCCCCUCUCGCCUGCGAAAGCGUUUUGGUCUCCUAGCCUUUCCCAGCCGGUUACAAGACAACCCCCUCAUUUCCCCCAACUAGAGAACGGGUAGAGACGGUCCGCCCUCUUAUUCGACUGAAACCCCCCAGCCGGGAACGCCAUUUAUUCCCUCAUCAACAGACUUCCAGACCCUCUCUCGGCCAACCACCUUCAACUGGCCGACUGCAAUGUCUGUUACCCCUUCAGUCUCCUCAAUUAUAGCAACCAAAACAACGGCAUCCACAAAUCCAACGUCAUUUCUCCUUCCCCAGCUGGACAGCCACGCCCAUCUUCACCGAGGAAUUAGUGGCCAUGGACGACAACCAUCAAAUCUAAAAAAGGAGAAGACCAAGAACAAACCUACCACCUAGAGAAGAAGGAGAAAAUGGCAAGUCAGAUAAAAUAGAAGUGAAACGGAUCUAAACAAGGAUUAAAAUCGACUGGCUUGUGUGUUUUUCUUUUUUUGUAGAUGACGGUGGGUGUCACUGCCGACAGGGAAGGGAAGAGGAGAAGCAGCUGAGCCAUACCCACCUGGUUUCCUAGAUUUUUUACGGCGGCGCGUGAACCCACGCGCCGCCAGUGGUGAUGGCACGUGGGAAUGACGCGUCACCACUGUUCCCGCGCCCAUAAACCUUCCUCAACAUUGUUCCUGUAGAUUCCAGAAGGCUUUGGAUUUUUUUGUGUUUAUUUUGUAAUUUUGUUGAAAUGUAUUUGAUUUAUUUUGAAUUUUUGUUAUUUUGGAACAUUGGUUGUAUGUGUAAAAAUAUAAUAAAAGUAAAUGUGUGAUUGUAUUUUUAUUUUAUGAAUGUUUUUAUUUAAUGAUAAAAUUGCAAAGAAUAAAGAAGAAUUUAAUAUUUUGAUUUGCUCACGCUUAAGGAUUAUGAACUUACAUGUAAGUCAUAUUUCCAACAUCCGAUGAAGAGACAAGAUUUUUAAACCAUCUUUAACACAUCAAAGCCACGAAGCAGCUUACCUCAGGUAGGGUGUGUUAGGGAUGCUAAUACCUUUUCUAACCACAACCAAUCCCUUACCCGUGAAUCUCUGACAAGACCAAUACAUUCGGAUUUCCUAGUAACCCUCAAAUAAAUACUAGGUGGCGACUCCCAAGAACAAAUCAAGCAAAUAAAAAGAAAAUCACCAACAGACGUCGCGCAGGUGACGUGCGACAACACCAUAAUUUGAUUCCAUUAGAAGAUCUUAAGAGGUCAUUUCUUGUAUAAGAGAAGUUUGAAUCCAGAGUAUGUAACCAAAUAGCAAUCCGAUGAAUGAUGAUGGCGAAACAAUCAAACAAGCUUAUAGUUCUCUCCUCAAAAAUAAUUUUGUUCCUCAACAACUAAAUGCCCCAAGUAAUACUACUGGAGAUUAGUCUCCAAGCUAAUCUUUGGAAUUUACCUUACACCAUUCAAGGCCAUUACAGAAGCAGCGAGUAUAGUGUGCUUAGUAAACAAUAUUGGAUACCUCACCAAUCCAAAAAUUUCAUCCAAACACUCUUAGGAAAGUUACAGUGUAUAAAAAUAUGCUUUGAAGUUUUCAAAUCUAAGUAGCAAAAGACACAUGAAGCUUGUGUGGCGGGCAAAACAUUCUGGUGAUGGAGAAAAGCUCUUGUACUAACUUUGUCUUAAACUGCCACCUAGAGGAACACCUGAACUUUCAGAAGGGCCCUUUUAAUCUAGACGUUGGCUUCAAAAACUCUAUCAUUAGCUAAAAAGGUACUAUCAAUUAGGGUGUAACAGGACUUAAAUGAGAAACUUCCAUUAGAAUUACAUGGCCAUAUGAUUUUGUCAUCUUCUCCAAUGUAGUAAUUGAAGCUUCAUAUUUUUAUGGUAUUGUAACCAGAAGUUUUCAACAAUUCUAGACUCUGUAAAUGAUGUUCCCAGCAACUUGAUUCUGUUUACAAUUCCAAGCUAGCUGAAGUGGAUUCUGCUUCAGCAUUGGGGUUUAAACCAGAAAGAUGCAAGAUAUUCUCAAUCUCUUUCACCACUUCACCCAUUGUUGGCCUGUCACUUCCUUUCUCUUGUACACAUUUCAUUGCCAGAUCCACCAUCUUUUCUAGACCUUUUGGCAUCGUGUCUAAACGAAUGCUUGGGUCAAGAAGUUCAUGAAGGUUAUAUAGAUCUUUUUUUCUAUCCAAUGAGCUACUUACCUCCGCUGCAAGGUAUUUCCCUCGCUCCAAAGGCUUUCUUCCACUUACUAGUUCCAGCAACACAACUCCAAAGCCAUAGACAUCACUCUUCUCAGUCAAGAGCAGGGUCGUCUGAUAUUCUGGAUCUAUAUAACCCUAAGCAGAAAAUAUAGUGAUCUUGUCAAUUGUAACCCUUGAUAUUGGCUUUAAUCAUAGACCAGCAAGCGGCCUGCAUAUAAUGAAACUAGAUAGUCUUAAAUUCUUCAAGUUUUGGAGGUACUGACCAUUGUCCCCUUAACUUGAGUGCUAGCAAGAAUAAGCUCACUAUUGUCCAUAGGCUUGGAAAGACCAAAAUCAGCAACUUUAGCAUUUAAGCAUUCAUCCAGUAAUAUGUUUGCUGAUUUUACGUCCCUGUGGAUAAUACGAGGGUUGACAAACUCGUGCAAGUAGGCAAGACCUCUUGCUGCAUCAAGAGCCACUUUAAGUCUCCUCCUCCAAUCCAGCCAGAUCCCGCUCAAACCUGCUAACAUGAGAAGAGGAUAUAGAAUGCGUGUGCUUAUUUCCGGAACAAAGGCACCAAAGGGUUGUCAUGGAAAACUCAAUGCUUGUAAGAAUAUUGAAAGGUUCCAUGUGCAAUACCUGAUAGGCUGUCCCUGAGACUACCAUUGCGAACAAACUCAUAAAUUAGCAUCUGUUCACCUCUCUCAAAGCAAAACCCAACAAGGUUUAUAACAUUUUUAUGAUGAACUCUCGAUAAAACUUCUAUCUCUGCGUUGAAUUCAUGCCCACCUUGCACCGAUCCUUGUCGACAUCGUUUGAUGGCAAUCAGUUGUCCAGUAGGAAGCAUCCCUCUAUAAACCUGUACACAAAAAUGUUGAAAGGUUACUUUCAAAUGCUCAUUCUUAAGGUUUGGUAAUCCAUGCCAGCUCAGAAGUUAGAUAGUUUGAAGGAAAAUUGCAACCAGCAACACCCACAAUCAUUGUUUAUGCAAAUGAAACCACCAAGGCAGGACAGGAAAAGAGGGAGAGACUUGCCAUUCCGUAACCCCCUGAUCCAAUAUGAUUGGCUUCCGAGAAGUUAUUGGUGCUCUUCGUAAUCUCAUCGAAAGAGAAGCAUCUGGCUCCCUUCAACUGAGGAACUCUGUCACUGUUCUUUAAAUCCAAGGAUGCUGCAAUUUGGCAAAAUAAAGAAAAAGAAAUAAAUCAGCAAUUUUCGAUGAUGAACGGGAAAAUAUCAGGUCUAAAAACUAGAACCUUAAAGAACCAAUAUGACUCUUAUGUUUACUUGCUCUUUCUCUUCUUUUUUUCAGACGAUAAGCAUAUACCCCUGCAAGAAGCAAUAGUAGCAGGAAAGAGGCUCCUCCAGCCGCAGCCCCAACGAUACCUCCAAUGAUUGGUAACUUGUUUGAUACCGCGGGUUUUCCAGCUUGAAAAAGAGGGAGGGAGGGAGGGAGAGGGAUGAGUCAUCAUAAGAAAGAAAGAUCAAUGUAGGCAAAUAUUUUUCACUUGUGCAUGAAAUUGAAAUUACCUAUUGGAAUCAACAACUAAUUAAACAAUCAAAAGAAGAUCAACAACCUGCAGACGUAUCACUGCUCACAGCACCCUAGCAGAAAUUCAAUUCUGCAGCCUUCACAUACAUAUGUAAAUACGGUUAACAGUUUUCUUAGUUAGUUAAAAGUUAGUUAUCAACCGUACAGAGUCAGUUGAGAUUUCUAUGUUAGAAUAUGUGUAUAUAUUCAUUCAUUCAGUCAGUUUGUAGGUAACAAUUUUGUACAGAGCAAAACCUCUGCAUGCAGAUAAUUCAAGAUAUUACUUUUCUCUUGAUUUCAAAUCAAGAGUCUUCAUUCUUCUGAUCUGUCAAAUCUUCCUUUAUUCUUUGCAUUCCUCACGUAGGAAUUCUACAUGGUAUCAGAGCAAUAAAGAUUGUUCUUAUCUUCAAACUCUUCUUCAAACUCUUCUUCGCAUAAACAGAAAGAUUAAAAUUCUUUAAACCUCACAUUUUUUUUCUCAUCUUCUUGAUCUUCUCAAAACUUCAAACAUGUCUGAUCAUCUUGAAGGAAAUGCUUCUACAGCACACAAUGAAACUUUCAACACCACUUCUAUGAAUCUGUCUGAUGAUUCCUCCAGCUGCUACUACCUGCACCCGUCUAAUAACCCAGGUGCACUUCUUGUCUCAGAAAUUUUCACAGGCGAAAAUUACAUUGCAUGGAGUAGAUCCAUGACAAUUGCCUUAACAGUGAAGAACAAAAUCUCCUUCAUUGAUGGUUCCUUAAUACAGCCAAUUACCAACAAUCAAUCACUGCGAGUGGCAUGGCUAAGAUCAAAUAAUCUUGUACUAUCAUGGCUGAUGAACUCUAUUGCUAAAGAUAUUCGCAGCAGUCUUCUUUACUUCACAUCAGCCUACGAUAUUUGGGAAGAACUGAGAGUUAGAUAUCUGAGGAGUGAUGGACCAAGAGUUUUCAGUUUAGAGAAGUCUUUAAGCUCUAUUUCUCAGAACUCUAAAACCAUUACAGACUACUUCAGCGAAUUCAAAGCCCUGUGGGAUGAAUACAUUAGUUUUCGUCCAAUACCAAACUGCAAAUGUGGAAAUCUUGAUUCUUGUUCUUGUAACAUUUUUAAAACAUCUAACAGAUCGACAGCAAUCAGACUAUGUGAUGAAAUUCCUGGUAGGACUCCAUGAUUCUUUUUCUGCAGUCCGAAGCCAAUUGCUGCUUCAAACUCCCCUACCAUCUAUGGGGAAAGUAUUUUCUCUGCUUCUGCAAGAAGAAAGCCAAAGGUCCCUGACAAAUAUGGUAGGCAUUUCUAUUGAUUCACAAGCCAUGGCUGCUGGACAAUAUCACAAUCCAAAUCACAGGUCAGGUUCAACAUAUGUUACACGAUUUGCAAAACAAAAAGGAAAAUCUGAGACAACUUGCUCCCAUUGUGGAUAUCCAGGACACACAAUUGAUAAGUGUUUUCAAAUUAUUGGAUAUCCCCCUGGAUGGAAGGGACCAAAAGGGAAAAGAUUUGCUGCAAUGCCACAUACAAAUAGAAAUUAUCAAGCACCACCCAUUGCACACAAUACUGCUGUUUCAGAAGCAAAACAAGAACCUCCCAACAUUGUUUUCUCUCAAGAACAAAUGCAGAAUCUACUUACUCUUGCAAAUAGCAUUUCCAACUCUAAACUACAUCACAAUACUAAGGAGCAAGCAUCCAUCUCAGGUAUAUCAUUUUCUUGUCACACCAACUCUUCACCUCAGAACCAGUUCACUUGGAUUCUCGAUACAGGGGCAACAGAUCACAUGAUCUGCAACCCCAUUCUUUUCGAAUCUAUUCUACUGCCUAAAAUACAAAGGCAUGUCCAUUUACCAAAUGGCCACAAGGUGCCUAUUGCUUUUACAGGAACAGUUACAUUCUCUCCCAAUAUUAUUUUAAAGAAUGCUCUUUAUGUACCUUCCUUCAAUAUUAAUCUUAUCUCUGUUUCAAAACUAACCGCUGACAACACUAUUGGCUUGUUCUUUCUUCACACUAAAUGUUUUCUAGGAUCUAAGCACAUGGAGGACGAUUGGGCUUGCUGAAACUGAAUCUGGUCUUUAUCACAUUCACAAACCCCCUAACCAGUCUAGCAAACACAUCCCCUAGACUUUUAAUCCAAUCUUGUAAUGCUGCCACUGAUUUUUGGCAUUUACGUUUAGGCCACAUUCCUGUUUCAAAACUCAACAUUCUUAAUAAAAUUGAUCCUUCAGUUACUUCAACAGGCAAAACCAUCUGUGACAUUUGCCCCUUAGCCAAGCAAAAACGGCUGCCCUUUCCCUUAUCCAUGCAUACAUCUGCAAAAAUUUUCAAUUAAUUCAUAUUGACAUUUGGGGACCCUUUUCUGUUACUUCUUAUUCUGGUCAUCAAUUCUUUCUCACUAUUGUUGAUGACUACAGUCGGUUUUCUUGGCUCUUUUUAAUGAAAACAAAGGCUGAAACUAGAGGCCUUCUCCAAAACUUUCUAAUCUAUGUUCAUACUCAAUUCAACACCAGAAUUCAGACUAUUCGAACAGACAAUGGACAAGAAUUUAAUAUGCCUACUUUUUACCAAGAUCAUGGGAUCAUCCAUCAAACCACUUGUGUUGAAACUCCCGAACAAAAUGGAAGAGUUGAAAGGAAGCAUCAACAUUUACUAAAUGUAGCUAGGUCCCUCUUGUUUCAAUCAAAACUCCCCCUCACCUACUGGACCGACUGCAUCCUUACUUCAACACACCUUAUCAACCGCACUCCCUCUCUUAUUUUACACCACCAAACACCAUACCAGCUUCUGUUUGAUAAACCACCAACUUAUAAUCACCUAAAAGUUUUCGGUUGCUUGUGUUAUGCCAGCACACUCACUCACAACAGAGGAAAGUUUCACCCCCGAGCCACCAAAUGUAUUUUUUUAGGCUAUCCCCCUCACACUAAAGGAUAUAAACUCCUUGAUUUAACAACAUGCAAAACUUUCAUUUCUCGCAAUGUCUAUUUUCAUGAAUCUACAUUCCCAUCAAUACCAAACACAGUCCACACACCCCUUGUCUUUCCUGACUUUCCUCAAAUUUUUGAUACUUUUACUCCCAAGCCAUCCCCAUCCACUCCAUUCAAUUCUGAUCUUCAAAUAACCUGUGCUCAACCCACUGCACCCUCACCUCAGGUUACUACUUCCCAACCCAGAAGGUCUGCACGACCUAAACAUCCACCUCAUUAUCUACAGCAAUACUAUUGUGGACAUAUGACUAAGAUUCCUUCAGCAAACCCAAGCUCUUCCACUUGCUCCAUCCCUGGUACGCCAUACUCACUCUCAUCUUUCUUAUCCACUUCUCAAUUAUCUUUUAAUCAUCGAGCUUUUACUUCUUCUGUUUCUUUGGUUUUUGAACCAAAAACAUAUAACCAAGCUCGUUCUAUUCCCCAUUGGCAACAAGCAAUGACUGCUGAAAUUAAAGCCCUUGAACAGAACAAUACCUGGGAUUUAGUCCUUCUGCCUUAUAACAAAUCUGUCAUUGGCUGCAAGUGGGUGUACAAAAUCAAAUUCCAAGCUGAUGGACAGGUUGAACGCUACAAGGCCAGAUUGGUAGCCAAGGGCUACACACAACAAGAAGGAAUUGAUUUCUUUGAUACAUAUUCUCCUGUGGCCAAGAUGACAACCGUUAGAGUCUUUCUCACCAUUGCAGCAGUGAACAAUUGGCAUUUACACCAACUUGAUGUGGACAAUGCUUUCCUACAUGGUGAUCUGCAUGAAGAAGUAUACAUGCAGCUGCCCCCUGGUUACUCCACUCCUCAUGAUCCUCGUGUUUGCAAACUCAACAAGAGCCUAUAUGGCCUCAAGCAAGCAUCCAGGCAAUGGUUCUCUAAACUGUCUACCUCUCUACUGCUCUUUGGGUUUGUCCAAGCCAAAUCCGAUUCCAGUUUAUUCAUCAGAAAAACAACCACUACCUUCAUUGCAUUAUUGAUCUAUGUUGAUGAUGUUAUCAUCACUUCCAACACCCUCACAGCCAUCAACCAAGUUAAACACUUCCUUCACCAGACUUUUCCCAUCAAAGACUUAGGAAAACUUAAAUACUUUCUAGGCAUUGAAGUUGCUCGAUCUGCAAGAGGAAUUUUUCUGUGUCAGCGCAAAUAUGCCUUAGAUAUCCUAGCAGAUAGUGGCUUCUCUGGAGCUAAACCAGUUAGCUUUCCCAUGGAAUCUACAUUGAAACUCAGUGCCCAUGAUUCUAGUCCCAUUCUCUCAGACCCUGCAGCUUAUCGUCGCCUAAUUGGCAGACUUCUUUACCUCACAAUCACACGUCCAGACUUAUCCUAUGCCAUCCAAACUCUUAGCCAAUACAUGUCCAAUCCUCACACCACACAUCUCCAAGCUGCAGAACGAGUCCUUCGCUAUGUUAAAGCAACACCAGGUCAAGGAUUGCUUCUCAAAACUGAUUCUACAUUUCACUUAAAAGCAUACUCUGACAGUGAUUGGGCUGGCUGCAUUGAUACCAGACGUAGUGUCACUGGCUACUUAGUAUUUCUUGGUGAUUCCCUCAUCUCCUGGAAAUCCAAGAAACAAGCAACGGUUAGUCGAUCAUCUGCAGAAGCUGAAUAUCGAGCAUUGGCCACAACAUCAUGCGAACUUCAAUGGCUGUGUUAUUUGUUGGCCGAUUUUCAUAUUCUGCACUCCCAGCCUGCCCUCCUUUAUACAGACAGCAAACCUGCUUCCAAUAUUGCUUCCAAUCCUGUUCACCAUGAACGCACCAAGCAUAUCCAACUUGACUGCCAUCUCAUCCGUGAAAAAUGCAGGAGGGAUUGCUCAACAUCAUUUAUAUCCCUUCCAAAUAUCAACUCGCAGACGCUCUCACAAAACCACUCGGUUCUCUCAACCUUACUCCUAUCCUUCGCAAGAUGGGAAUGAUAAAUAUUCAUUCUCAUCUUGAGGGGGGAUAUUGGAAUCAACAACUAAUUAAACAAUCAAAAGAAGAUCAACAACCUGCAGACGUAUCACUGCUCACAGCACCCUAGCAGAAAUUCAAUUCUGCAGCCUUCACAUACAUAUGUAAAUACGGUUAACAGUUUUCUUAGUUAGUUAAAAGUUAGUUAUCAACCGUACAGAGUCAGUUGAGAUUUCUAUGUUAGAAUAUGUGUAUAUAUUCAUUCAUUCAGUCAGUUUGUAGGUAACAAUUUUGUACAGAGCAAAACCUCUGCAUGCAGAUAAUUCAAGAUAUUACUUUUCUCUUGAUUUCAAAUCAAGAGUCUUCAUUCUUCUGAUCUGUCAAAUCUUCCUUUAUUCUUUGCAUUCCUCACGUAGGAAUUCUACAUUACCAUCGAAGUAUGGAUAUGCAGCACCCUUAAAAUAUGAAGGUCCAAAGAUGUCUGGAUUUUCAAUAGUCUGAAGGUUUAGCACAAAUCCAAUUCUAGAAAUCGUAGUUGUGCUAAAAUGAUUUUGGCCCGAAGGAAACACAGAUACGUUCGAUUCAAGAUACCCCAACGAAUCAUUUGUCGGACAAUUUACAUAAACUGAAUCGACAGGAAGGCUAAAGUUCUUCAAGGAAUGCUUCAGAGACUCUUCUACCAGAUGAAGAUAAUCAUUUGGGUUUGUUGACUCUAAAAAUGGAGGUCUGAAGAAUAGUACUCCUGUGUACGGAUAAGAAAAUUUGCUGUUGGGACUGGAAAUCUGAUCUGAAAUGCAGGGGAGGAGAAACGAAGAAAUGCCUUGAUGAACUGUGCAGUAAUGUUCUGAUGCUUCUGCACGCUCACAUACCGGGUUACCCACAAGUCUGCAAAAUUUUACACAUAAAACACUCUUACGCAGGCAAGUAGUAUAGCACAUCUCCUCAGGAUUUAACUUUUCACACUACUAACACUACUAACUUUUCACAUCUCCACAAUAAGAAGAAGAAGAAUGCCUCUUACAUUACAUCCACGUUAUUCCUUUGUUCUGGUGUUUCUGAAUAGAAUGAAAUGAGAUUGUUUCGCAUAUCAAUGGCUUCCAGCUGGCUGCUAGUGCUUCUGGCAAUAUCCAAUGUGCCAUUGAGCUGGUUGUUCAUUAGAAUCCUGUAACCAUUUGUGAAUUUAGAAACAUGGGGAAGGAUGAAAGAAUCUAUCAAUAUCCAUGAAGUUGACUGCUAUGGUACUGAAGAAACAUGGGGAACGAUGCUCACAAAGUCUGUAAACCAGGAAGAUCGAAGAGGGUAGGAGGAAUCUGACCUUCAAGUCCAGUGUUUUCCAUCAUUCUGUUAUUCACAGGAAGGGAAGAAGGCUUCACUACGUUGACAGCGUGAAAAAUCAUAAAUUGUAAACUUUUAUACACAGGAAUGCAUAGUCAGUAAGAGGUACCAUGGACAAAAAUGUCUCUGUCAAAAAAACCAAUGACUGCUUCAUAUAACACUUACUAAACAUGGAGACAAUUAUAAUCUAGCAUGUAAAGUCAUGAUGCCUGAGCAAAAUAUUCUAGUUAAGGCUUCAUUGAGUUGGUCGAGUGUGUGUGUGAUAACAGAGAGAAAAGGAGGGAGGAAGGGAGACAUACAGUGUUGUCAAAGCCCGUAAGUUUGAGAAUGACAACGGAAAAUCUGAAGCGUCAAAACUAUUAUUGCUCAGGUCCCUGGAGAAAAGAUUUUGGUCAAAGUAGGAAUUUGGAGAAAAGUCGAAUUGUAUUCCAUACUGAGAUACCUAACAGAAUAGAAAUCUUACAAGUAGCUGAGAGAAGCCAUGCCAGUGAGAUUAGGAACAGGCCCAGUAAAUUUAUUGUUGGACAAAAUCCUGAAAUUUAUCAGCAAAAAGCACUCUUAACCGAGUGAAAAUCCGCACAAAAGACUAGCCAAACCAUUGUGAUAUCUUUACUGGCAAUGUCGUUUUCUGUAUACUUACAACGUCGCCACAUUGGUAAGAUUGUUGAGGUUUGAAGGGACAGGUCCAGUUAAUGAGUUCCCUUCAAAACGUCUGCAACAAAGACAAGGCAUUCAAUACAAACUAGAUCAGUGUAGAUUAAUCACUUCAGUUUGUCAUGUAGAUGCUUACACAGCCUCCAAAGUGCGCACAAGUCCAAGGGUAGAAGGAAUGCUUCCCGUGAGAUUAUUGUCAUGCAAAAGCCUGCACAAAAGUAAUGUAUAUGAUGUAUAUAGAAUUGUAAACCUUUUAAGGAAGCAUAUUAAAUUAACAAGAAAUAUUGUUUUCUUUUAAAUUAAAUUAAAAUCGCACUUCCUAUUUUCUCCCCUAUUCUCACUAUGAACAAAAUGAAUCCAAUUGUUGUAUUCCACUGGUGAAGUAGUUUGACUUCAACAUCCAAUGCAUAUACAAACUUACACAUGAAUGAGAGUCAUGUCUGAUCUGAAAAGCUCAUUAGGGAUUGCGCCUGAGAACUGAUUCCCUCCUAGAUGACUGAAUAAUUUUCAGACCAGCAUAAACAGAUGUCAAUAAAGCCGAAGCAAGAGAGCACAAAUCAGCUGGACAAAUACAAGGAAAUUUGACAUACAAGUGUUUUGUAUUAACUAGCAUAUCAAGACCAGGUGUAGUUCCACUGGAGACAGGGAUGGCUCCAUCGAGCAGAUUAUAAGAUAGAUCCAGCAAAAAGAGUUUCGAAAGGUUUCCAAUUGAAUGUGGAAUUUGUCCAGUGAAUCUAUUAGAAUUCAGGUCCCUGCGGGAAAUAGCAAUAGAGAGUCUCAGAAAACAGUAAAGGUUGCCAAUAGAGAACAUGUUUAGUCCAUAAGAAAACAGUAAAACACUCACAGAGACUCCAGCAGCUGAAGAGACCCUAUCAACUCAGGGAUAGGACCAGAGAAACUACAACCAGCCAACUUUCUAGAAUGGAAGAAAAGAAAAUUCUGUCAGUUAAUUAGAGGAUUGGUUUCAGUUAAUACUAACAUCAUAUUAUUCCCUUACAAGUUUUUUAGCUUCUUCAAAUUCACAAUUGAUCGUGGAAGGGCACCGUUCAACCCCGUGUUGUACGAUAGAUCCCUAUAACCAGACACUGUUAAUGAGCAAGGAAUCCUUGGAAUGGAAAACAAUCACUAUAUUCAUAUAUCAAGAAAAAAGAUGAAAGCAGUUCUGGGAAUGAGGCCUUUUCUCAAUAUGUGCCUCAUGCCUUGAGAUCCGGACGCUAGAGCAGCCCAGUCUAGACAUCUGGAAAGCCAAAUAGUAUCGUAGCACUACUUGUAAGUCGGGAUCUUUUAUUAUGUGAAGUCAAAACUCAAGACUUACAGAACCUCCAAUUCUGAUAAGAAGGAGAUGUCUCCAGACAGCUUACCCAUCAAUCCCACAGCUGCCAACGUUCUGCAGUUGAAAAUAGUCAGCUAAUCUCGAAACUUGGAGAAGGAAGAAGGUACGAGGCUUAAUUAACGUUAGAAGCUGAACAACCGCCAAUAACUUACAUCGAAGUCACACGUGAAUUGUUACAUGAAAUGUCUUCCCAUCUGCCUCCACAGGGAUCUGCACCCACCCAAUUACGUGGUGUGUUUUCCCAGGCAUCCUUGAGAAUACUCAUUACUGUAACUGCAUCAGGAAUGGGGCAGGACAAUAAAAAACUUCCAUGAUUCAAUCACCGUCAGAAUUGUCUAGUUACAUGGAGUAUGGAGGAUCCAUUAAAGCUAGCAAAGAUCUCUACUAAAUCUAAUCUAGCCAUGAACUUCAAUGAGAAGAUUAGCAUAAAAAGCUACAUCCUACAUGAGACAUGGCUCAAAGACUCUUUGUAGUAAACGGGGAAUAUUAAUUUAUUGAACUUACAAUCAUCACCAUAGGUCUCUGUAUAAAUCUGAAAGGAAGCAACCACCAGAAACGUGAGAACUUUGGGACACAUUUCUCGACAAAAUUGCAAAGCUCUUUGUUAUGAAUGUUGCAUAACUCCAAAACCCUUUAAUAGCAGAAAUGAUAUCUAGAAGCGCAACUCUUAAUAUGAUAAAACAUGGAAGGAAGAUCUUUACAUAUCCCCAUCUUUUAUCUGUCUCAAAAUUUAUAUCGUGAAAGGACAUGAAUGGGACAAUUUUGUUCGUAUGAAUCACAUAUUAAAUACAAAGACAAUUGACCUCCCAUCUCUAGUCAUUUUCAAGUUUAUAGUCAAUAUGAAACUCUAAGACUCCUAAAAAUAGAAGUAGAGAAACAAUUUAUGGGAUACUGUACGUGAUAAGAAUGAGUUGUGAGAGUGAGAAGAACCCACCAAGUGGUUUCUUGCAUAAAGUAAAUGUUGAUUCUAGUAAAAAGCAGGGGCGGAACCGGGGGAGGCAGGGCCCGGGCUCCUGUAAAAUAUUUUAAAUUUUUGUAUUUUUAGUAUUUAAAUAUAGGAUAAUAUAAUAUUUUAUUUUAAAUAAAUCAGUUUUCUAAUAAUAAAUUAUAUCUUGAGUUUUGGCCCUCCCUAUUAUAUAAAUAAGCAUCCACUCUGAUUGCAUGCACAUACACUUACAGAAUACAGAGAGCAUUUCCACAUUUCCUACAGUACAUACACCAAGUGGUCAUGAUUGUCUGCUGAAGUCAUUUUUUAAGCAAUCAAUACAAGGAGUUAUCAAUUGUUAAUGAGAUGUAGGAUAGAGCUAAGCCUAAAAAGAGAUAUAAUUACAUAGAAUAACUAUUCGGACAGAAAAACAUAUAAUUUUUUAUCUAAACGUAGAAUUGGAGUCAAAUUUGACUAGAAGGAUUUGUAUGCCUAAUUCUAUAAUAAGGCCUUCAAAUUACACUCAAAGAUGUUUUUUGAUUCAGUUAAAUCGGAGCCGUACAUACACAUUGAACUUCUAGAAAUAAUUAGAUUUUAGUGUGUAUACAAUUAAUUUUUAUUAAUUAAAAAGUUUCCCAGUUUUAUCACACAACAUCUCAAAAAUCCGGAAGUCACGUUCCAUCUUCCUCCUACUUUGUUUCUUUAAAAAGAUGCUUUUGAGCCUGCUGGAAUAGCAUCAUUAUUCACCAUAAAGAACAUGGAUGAUGGAUUAUUGUAAUGAAGUUUAAGGUUUUAUUAAUUAAGUACUAUAUAAGUGUAGAAUUGUACCUCGUUAUAAACUAAUGCUUGGCAGGGGAAGGACUCUUGUCACACACAAAAGACUUAAAUACUUUCCAAUCACACCUAGAUCAUACAUGUUAUUCAUAUCGUCCAAAACUGUUGAGCACAUAACAUGACACCAAUCACAUUAUGCGAUGGAUGGAGUGAUGAUGCACCCUUCCGAUGGUGAAGCCUAGAAACACUUUAACAAUAUGCAUCCUUAGUUUUCAGUGGAGACAAGGAACGUGCAUCUUUGGUUAUUUAUAGAUGAAUUCAAUCCAUUCGGGUCAUUUCUUACUCCUUAUUCUUGUUGACCGGUGAUACUCACGGUUUAUAAUUUGUCACUAAGGAUGUGUAUAAGGCUAGAGUUCAUGUUUUUAUCUACGGUCAUACCAGGUGUUGUUACUCAUUUUUGAGCCCCACAUGCAAAGGGAUAUGGUGUGUACCCUUCUUGAGUUGAAGGCAGAAGUUUUGUUCAGGGUUGCUGAGAAAUUGACAAAAACAGAGAAAAAAAAAAUGUUUUUCGAACCCUGUUUCAGUCGUCUUCUACUCUCUUUAUCCUUUCUCUUUUUUUCCAAAAUUAUCAAAAUUAUUUGGCUAAUUAAGAGUUUUAUAAUGCUGAAUUCAUUUUUUUUUUAUCUGGUAUUUAAAAUUGGAUAAAUCCUUUAGAAGUUGCACUAAAAAAAACUAAUUCUGCUGCUAUCAUAAUUUUUUAUUACAACUUAGACCUUAAUUCUGACUUGGUUUCAUGCAAUAUCUUACCAUCCUUAAUUAGCAAGUUCAAACCCAAUGAGCACGAUAAACGUGUUUUUGGUUGGUGAAACUUUCAUGGCAUAUACAGAGAGGCCUCCAAUGCGACAGUUUGUGACAUUUCAUGACGGAUUCAUCGCAAGAAAAGAAACAAAGAAAAGAAAGGUUGUCUGGGACCAUUCAACCACGAUAAAAAAAAUAAAUAAAUAAAUAAAGCUACAAAGCUGUCAAAUUCAGGAAUGUGAACGCAAAGAAAAUCUCAAUAAAGCUGCACUGGAAAAAAGGAAAAAGAAAAACCAAAAUCAACGUGAUUGGCUGCAGUGAUACGUACGUUCCGUCCACUUGACUAAAGAAAAACCAAAGAGAACAUGACUUCCUUGAGACCCCAUGGCACAAUUUGGGGCCAAGGGAGUUCACCAACAGUUGGAUCUCCAGGUUCAUUACGCAUCUACUAGCUUCAUGAGCAUUAUUUAAAUGAAGUUUUAAUGGCAUAAUGCCGUGGAUGUGCUUUGAAGUAAAAAGAAGCAAUUAACAAUGUUGCUACUUAAUUUUAACCUAGAUAAAUUUUUAAAUAAAAAUAAUAAAAAAUAAGGGUUUACAUGUGACGAUAGCAUAGAGCAUCAGGGCUAAUAUUAAGGGAGCAAUAUGUCAAGGAGAUAAUUAUUGAAUCAUAUAUAAUUACUGUAAUAUAAAAUACAAUCAAUAUGGACUACACAGUGCAUACCACGGUGAAAAAGCUUAUGCCUUCUUCUUCUUUUUUAAUUAAUUUUUUUAUUUAAUUUGUUGAUAUUAAUUUUUUUUUCUAUUUAGUUAUCAGACUUUCAUGACAUGAAUCUCAUGUUUGACGAGUUAACCUAGUUAAUUUAGAUUUUCUUUUUCUUUUUCUUCAUUGGUUUUUUUCUUCUUUUAUUUUUUCUUUUUAUUUAAAUUUUUUUUAUUUAAUUUAGUUCAUCAAUAUUAAUUUUUUUUCUAUUUCGUUAUCGACUGAUGCCUUUUCUUUUUCUUUUUUUUUCUUUUUGCUUUUUUGUCAUUUUUAUGCCUUUGACUGUGGACUGCAUAGUGCAAUCCACAGUGAAAAGGCUGAUGCUUUUUGUUUGUUUUUUUUUCUUUUUAAUUAACUUUUUUCGUUUAAUUUAGUUUGUUAAUGUUUGAUUUUUUUCUAUUUAGUUAUCAAAUUUUCAUGAUACAGAUCCCGAGUUUGACGGGUUAGCCUAGUUAAUUCUAGGGUAACCUGUCAAUUUUUUUCUCUAUUUAUUUAUCAAACUUUCACGACACGAAUCCAAGAUUUGACGAGUUAACCUAAUUUGAAGGGUUAACCUAGAUAAUUCAGAUUUUUUUCUUUUUCUUCAUUAGUUUUUUUUUCUUCCUGUUGGUUUUUUUUUCUUUUUAAUUAAUCUAUUUAAUUAUCACACUUUUACAACACGACCUUGCAGCCAGACCCACAUCCAUGACUAUUGGAUCUGGUAUUACAGCCAAACCCACUUAAACUUGGGUCAUGCAAAUUUAAUGUUAUUAUUAAUAUUAUAAAUAUUACUAUUGGGUCAGGCAUUACAGCCAAAUCCAAGACUCUAGGGUAUAGCUUUGCAAAAAGACCUAACACUUUUAGAUCUUAGCUUUUUUUAUAUUUUUUAUGCAAAAAAUUGACUCGCAACAUCGCACGAGUCAUGUAACUAAUACAUAUCUAAAGGUAUGAUCCAUAUUGGCUAAGGGUUUUUUUUUGUUUUAGACUUCGAACCCAAGUCCGUUCAUCAUAGCAAACUCAUCCUAUGAAAAUUGAUUAGAAAACACCAACACAUAGCAAUGAUAAGGCAAACCAAACACCAAACAGCUUACCUUAGGUAAGGCGUACUAGGGGUGCUAAAACCUUCAUUUUAUGCAACCAGUCCCUUGCCUUAGAUUCUCUGAAAAACCAGUUAGGUUUUCUAGCUAGUGACCAUAAUACUAGGUGGCAACUUCCUUUUUCACAAAACAAAAACCUUGAAAUCAAUCCCCCGCUCCAAGAAAGGUCGCCACAACGUCGCACUCUCAAGAGGGUACGACACCAGGUUCUAAGUCCAAGUCCAAAUAUAGAUGUUUGUCUUCAACUGUUGAUUGAUGAGUUGAAAUAGUUGAGGUCAUCCGAGGCUUUGGCUUAUGAUGUACGAAGGAAACAAAAUUUUCUGAUGAAGGCAACUUUGAUGUGGACUAUCAAUGAUUUUCUAGCGUAUUGAAUGGUUUCUAGUAAGAGCAUGCAUGGAAAACUAACAUACCUAUACUAUAUGAAAAAUAACAAGGCAUUCACACUAACAAACAACCUUAAAGUGCUUUUUUUACUAUUAUCGAUGGUUCUUGCCAACAGAUCGCAUGUUCAAAAGGAACAAAAAGGACUUUUUUGUUGGCAUGGUUAAAAAGGAUGUUGCACAACAACUUCUUUUAGGUGAAAAAUUGUAUAAUUUGGUAUCAGAGUAUGGUGAUAUUGUGUUUAGUUUUCAAUCUGAAAAGCAAAAAUUUCUUGGUUUUUGUUUGACCCAUAAUUAGGUAAAGUGAAGUAUUUUCUAGGAGAUUCCUUAUCAGAAGACCAAACUCCUCCACCAUAACCUUGAUGUCAUGCACAUGGAAAAAACAUGUUUGAGAACAUUUCCAACAUGAUUAUAGACGUGCAGAGGAAGACAAAUGACAGCAUCAAAGCUAGAAUGGAUAUAGCUUUAUUUUGUCACCAUAAAAAUAUGGAGUUAGUUUAUGUUGGGUCAUGGGUCUCAAAGCCCAAAGUCAGCUUCACCUUAGACAAAAAUGCAUAGUUUCUUGUCCACCAAUGGCUUAAAGGGUUGUGUUUUCCUAAUAGACAUACCUCAAACAUAUCAAGGUUGGUGAGUUUUAAGGAUUGUGUAGAUUGUAUGGAAUGAAGAGCCAUGAUUGUCACGUGUUAAUGCAAAUACCCAUUCCAUUAGCUUACUGGAUUUAUUAUCGAAAAGGAUAUUGGAUGCACUUGUAGAGAUUAGUCACUUCUUUAGAGAUAUAUGCUCCAACAAGUUGCAGACACAAAACAUAGAAAGACUUAAAACGAAUAUCAUCCAGACAAAAUGCAAACUUUAGAUGAUAUUCCCUCCAAUGUUUUUUGACUUGAUAAAGCAUUUACCUGUAUAUUUACUAUUUGAGGCAACAUUUGGACGCCUAAUACAAUAUAGAUGGAUGUAUCCAUUCGAGAGGUUAGGAUUUAAACAUGCAUCGUAAUUAAAACUUUAUUAUCUUCCUUCGUAUAUUUCAAAAGAUUCAUUUAAUUUCAUAUAGGUACUUGUUCAACUUUAAGAGAAAAGCAAAAAACAAGGCACAUGUUGAGGCUUCGAUAUGCGAGGCCUAUAUUGUUGAAGAGAUUUUAACAUUUAUCUCAUACUAAUUGAGCAUCAAUUGAGAACAAGAAUCAAAUGCAUUCCAAGGUAUGACAAUGGUAAGGAUGUGUCUUCGAGUGGGAACUUGUCAAUAAUAUCUCAUCAUGGAUGACCCAUACCAAAAAAAUACUAUGAAGGGAAUAUAUUUUUCAAAAAUAGAAUUAAGACAAACACAUAAUUAUGUGCUAUUUAAUUACGAUGAACUAGGACCUUUUAUUCAAUAAGUAUGCUACUUAAUAUGUCUUUAUUUUUUAACAAUUUAUUUCUUAUAAUAUUAUAAACUAAUACAUUAUUGAAUUUCUUGUGGGCAAUGAUAAAUUAAUUAUGGAAGAUGAUAUCUUUCAACUUGGUGAGUUAGUUGAUCCAUAUGAAGUUACUUUGUCUAACAACUUAGAAGAAAAUUUAAAUUUCUAUAUCGUCAAGAAUAUUUUUAUUGAUGUUGACACGUAGAAGUUGAAUGAUGUUUUGAACUCUAGGGCACAUACACAAGUCAGUGAAGAUGAUAAUGACAAAAUCAACAUACAAGAUUGCAUGGAGAUAAAGACGAUUCAAUUGACGAAGUGGAAGAGAAUUCUGAUGAAUUUGCACAAUACAAAUGUGUAAUGCCAUAAAAUAUAAUGUAAUAUUUAUAUACGAGAUUCACUUCAAUGUAAUGACAAUGAUGUUAAUUUAUUAUUGAAUGAAAAGGAAAUAUUUAUUUUAUUAUUGUGAUGUGAACUAGUGUUAUUGUGUUGUGUGUGCAGCUAUGAAUUGAAGUAUCUAUAUGAUGUUAAUUUUUACAUUGAUAAAAAUUCCGAGACACUAUACAUUACAUACAAGUAUAUUGACGAAAUGUAUUCGUCGAUAUAUUCUAGGAACCAAAGGAACUAUUCCCUUUCACCUUGGCACUAUUCACGAUAUUGAUUACAUACAAGUAUAGCAACAGAAUGUGUUUGUCGGUAUAUUUCAGAGAACAUGGGAAUUGUACCCCUUCACCCGAUGAUGUUCAUGGUGUUCAUUAUAUACGGGUAUAGAGAUGAAAUGUGUUUGUCGAUAUAUUCUAGAAACCAUGGAAAUUGUUCCCCUUCACCCUGACACUGUUAAUAGUGGUCAUUACAUACAAGUAUACCAACAAAAUGUGUUCUUCGAUACAUUUUAAAGACUAUGGGAAUUGUGUCCCUUCACCCUAGAACUACUCACGGUAUUCAUUACAUACGGGUAUAUUGAUAAAAUAUAUCUGUCGGUAUAUUUUAGGGACCAUGGAAACCAUUCACUUCUCAAUACGGUGAUAAUUAAUGAUGUUUUGAUUGUUCACUUUUUUUCUAAUAGAAUCACUAACGGAAUGAAAAGUUAUCGAUAAUAUUUGGAGGGGAUUUCUUAAAAUUUUCUCGUAAGUUGAGAAUUUCCAUUUGACUUUACAAACAAAUCACCAACGGAAAUAUUAAAAAUAUUAAUAUUUAAUUUCCCGUCAGUAAUCCCGUCGGUAAAAACAAAAACAAAAGGCUUACAUCAUGACAGAUUAGGGAUUCAUCUUCUUUUCUUUUUCUCUUUUCUCUCCCCUUCUCACCUAAGAUCAAGCAUUCUCUUCUCUUCUCAUCCUAAGGUAUGUUGACGUCUUUCUUCAUUUUUCUUCUUCUUCUUUUUUUUGGGUUUAUUUACAAUGUAUUUUUUUAUUUUUUUUAUUUUUUGAUUUUUUAAUUAAAAGCUUAAAUAAAGCAUGUCAUUAAGGUAAGAAUUUUUCAUUCAUUUUUCUUAUUUUUUUGGUGUUUUUUUUAUUAUUUUUGUUCAUUUUUGUGUUCUUAAUAAUUUUAUUAAUCAAUAAAUGACAUGAAUAUUAGUUGUUAUUGAAAUAAUUUUUGCAUUAUUUUGUUGAAAUUUAGUUAUUUUUUUCAAAUUUGUUGUUCAAUUUCAAUUAAUUGUGUAGAAAUAAUUUUAAUUACUAUUUUUUAUUUAUUCCAUUUAGAAUAAAUUUUUAUAAAUUUAGAAUUAAAAAUAUUAUUACUUAGAAAUAAUUGUGUUUAAUUUUAGUUGUUGUUGUAAGAUUUUUUGCAUUAUUUUGUUAAAUUUAGUUGUUGUUUUUUUUCAAUUUCAAUUAAAUGUGUAGAAUUAAUUUUAAUUAUUAUUUUGAAUUUUUGUAAAUUUAAAAUAAUUUGUUGUUAAUAUUAUCACGUAGAAAAUGAAAAUUUUCUAUGAAAUUGAACUAUGCUAACUUGUUAGAAGAAAUUGAAUAAAAUCAAUUGGUUUGUAGCAUAUAUAUUAUGUAUUUGCAAGUUUACAAAAUUUAGGUAGUCUCCCGUAUAUGGAAGAUGUUGUCGAAUGUUUUAAACAAAUAGGAAUCUUUUUAAAAAAAAUUAUCUAUUAAUUUGUGUGGAUGUCUAGGGGAAAGUCUAUUACACGUCGUGAGGAUAAAAUCGUUAUUAGUUCUUCUAACAGCGAUGCUGACGACCAUGAGUCAUUAGGUGCCGACCAAGAACAGGCACUUGAGGCACAAGCAUCGACUCAUGAUGAGGACUCGUUGAGUGCGAUGCCGCAACAUCAUGGGGGUCUCUUCACAACAAGACCCAUUUACCCACAAGUAUGAGGCCUAGUUGAAGGACAAUGUUUCAAUAUAAGUUUGUUUUGCUUUCACAACAUGUUUAAUAAUUUUUAAAAAAAAUAAUAUCAUUUAAGGAAUGCAAUUUCAAGUUUACAAAUAUUUAGGCUACUAGAACAAUAAUAUUGGCCUUUAAAUUGUCGAUGGAAAUUCUAUUAUUUCAAUGGAGGCAGGUAUACAAACAUCCUAAAGAGAAACCGUGGAUCGAUACAUAGUUUUCAAGGUUCAAGGUUAGUAUUAGCUUAAAUAUUUUUUAUGUUAAUUUGAACAGUUUAUUGAAAUUCUUGAAAUUUUCCUUUUUUAAAUUUGUACUUCAAGGGAAAAUUUGAAUAAGAGAGAGUUUAUGAUAAUUUUGCAAGGAGGGUUUGAGAGAAUCAUGCUACAAUUAGAUAAAAUCAAAUUCAUGAUAAUUUUUUUAUCCCAAAUAUUAACAUUUUAUUUUUCAUUUACUAAUAGAUAAUUAAUUUGCACCAUAUAGGUUGUGUGAUAUUUUGUACGAGGCGCGAAAGAUAGCCAAAAAAUAUGCAAAAUAAAGAGACCUUCCAGGUUGGACUGAUAUGGUGGUUUGAAAGGAUUUCAUACUAUUGUAUUUCUCAGAGGCUAUAUGGGUGGAAUACAUUUAGCACAUGAUGUCCGCAUGUUUCACUCUACAGUCAUAGUCCAGUACGGAUAAUCGAAAUCGGCAUGUUCAUGGUUUUAUUGUCAUGCACACCGGUAGCUCUAUUCCUUUUGUUUUACAUACGAAGUGGAUGGUAGGAUUUUAUUUUUUUUAUAACAUCCAUUUUUUAUUGGUUGUUUUUUUAUAAAUAUACUUAACUAAUAAUUAUUUUUUUUAUUGUAGGCUACGAUUCUUGGAUGCAAGCCAAGCCCAAUGGAGUUUGUUGUUCAAAUGCAUGUGUAAGUUAUUAUUUCCUUGAAUUUGAUAAAUUUAUUUUUUUCUUUCUAGGAUAUAUAUAACAGCCAAUUGAAGGAGAGAUAUGGAGGUGAUCCUUCGACCCAUCUAGAUAUCGAUCUAGAUUUGUGGUUGAAGGCAAGAUCGUCUGGUGGGUCAAUGAAAAUCAGAUGUAUGGACUCUUUAACACUAUGGCCAAACUUGUAUAGAACUCGUAGUGCUUCAACGGUUGGAUGCUCACAAUCAAUUCUGAGCAUUCAGAUUCUGGAUUUCACAGCAAUAUUAGACCAACGGGUGCAAGAUCAAACGACCCAUCUGAAUGAUAAAUACGAACGACUCACUACUGAUUAUAAAGAAGUCCAUUGAUUCGUAAUGUGGAUGAGGUCAUAGAUGGGUGGUUCAUAUGCAACCCCUAAUUGGCCCCACGAUUCCGACAACGACCAACCUCCUCCUCCAGUGUUGCCUCUAUUUUAGAUUUAUUGUAUUUGAAUGUACAAAUAUUUAAAUUUGUAAUAAAUAUUUAUUUUUAUACUAAUUUAUUUUAUUUUAAUUAUUUUUCUACUUUUGUUCAAUAUAUUUUUUAAGAAAAUAUUUUUAAAAUAUUAUUGUUGAGGUUACCGACAUCACAACUCCGUCGGUAUAUUCUAAUAAAGAGUUGAAAAGAAUUACUACAAAUAUUACUAUUUUUAUGGGGUUACCGACAAAACUAUAUUGUCGAUAUAUUCUAGAGAGGUGAAAAAGAAUUACUACAUAUGUCACUACUACUGUUAACGCACCGAUGGAAUUAUAGAUGGUAUUAUACCGAUGAUAUAUUAUAUUUACCAAUGGAUAUACUAACAAAAUAAAGCCGUUAAAUUUAUUUUUUUUGACGUGCUCUUUUCAUUUGUAAAUCCAUUGGUAUAUUUAUUAUUAACGAACUCAACAACAAUCCAUAAAUUACAAAUGAGAGUUUUUCCAACAGACUGUUUCUGUCCAUGAGUCUAUCGAUAACAUAUGUACCGACAGACUAUUAGUGUAAACACUGACAUAAAUUUCUAUCGAUAAAACUAUUAAAUCUAAUAGUCGUUUGCUAGUCAUUUAAAUUGAGAGAAAUAAAUUUUGGUCAGUCAAGAGAUAGGAGCCAAAGAAAACUCCAAAAAAUAUUUGAACUCACUCAUGGAAAGAAUGCUUCCUUCAGUCACCAGCUUGACCACUCAACAUUUGUUAGAGGAAUGUAUCCAAGGUUUGAAUUCCUCGGUCAUUCCAUCGGUAAAAUUGCCCACAAAAACUUCCACAUCAUCGAACUACUUUUUUAAAAAAUUCUAUAUAUUUUGUUUGUAAUUUAGUCAGUAUAUGUAUACCGAUAACAGUAGUUGGUAUGUACCAAUUGAAUUAGGGAUGGAAUAGUGUCCGUCGGUAAUGCUCACCACAUUUUACUGACAGAUUAUUUCGUCAAUAAUUAUGUUGGUUUUAGGCAAAUUUCUGGUAGUGGACGGGGUUACCAAUGACACAACUUUGUCGGUAUUCUAGAAAGUUGAAAAAAAGUUACUAUAAAUGCCACUAUUAUUGAUGAGGUUACUGACAAAACUAGACUGUCGGUAUAUUCUAGAGAGGUGAAAAAAAAUUGCAGCAUAUGUCAUUGCUUCUGUUAACACACCGACGGAUUAUAAUGGUAAUAUAUCGGUGAUAUGUUAUAUUUACUGAUGAAUAUACUGACAUAAUAAAGCAGAUAAAUUUGUUUUGGCAUGCUCUUUCAAUUUGUAAAUUCAUUGGUAUAUUUAUUAUUGACAGACUCAACAACAGUCCAUAUUACCAACGAGAAUUUUUCCAACAGAUUGUUUCUAUUAGUCGUCUGUCGGUAACAACAGAAAUUUCCGUCAAUAAAACUAUUAGAUCUGAUAGUCGUUUGCUAGUCAAAAUUGAUAGAAAUAAAUUCUGGUCAGUUUCAAGAGAAAAGAGCCAAAGAAAACUCUAAAAAAUAUUUGAACUCACUCGUGGAAAGAAUGCUUCCAUCAGUCACCAGCUUGACGACUCAACAUUUGUUAGAGGAAUGCAUCCAAGAUUUUAUCAACCUCAAUUAUCAUCAUGCAACAAUAACAGUGGCCAUCGUUAUUUACAGCAGUUAAUUAGUUGUUAUAGAGACAAAAACUUGUCUAUGUGACGACAGCUGAAAAUGAUCCUUAAAGAUAUCAGAAUUUCUUCCAAACGAAUCUGUCCUUAAAGUCAUUCCAAAAUUUUCUAUAUAUAAACUCAGUCGUUUGCUAGUCAUUAAAUUCACAUAAAUAAAUUCUGGUCAGUCAAGAGAUAAGAGGCAAAAGAAAACUCCAAAAAUAUUUGAACUCACUCGUGGAAAGAAUGCUUCCGUCAGUCACCAGCUUGACCACUCAGCAUUUGUUACAGAGACAAAAACUUGUCUAUGUGACGACAGCUGAAAAUGAUCCUUAAAGAUAUCAGAAUUUCUUCCAAUCGAAUCUGUCCUUCUAAUUGGAAACACACUGGUCCCCUCCGACCCCUCCCCUCCAUCAACUCUUGCAAUAAUAUAUUCUCUCUUGGACUUGACGGCACCUGGCCUGAGAAACAACUGGCACGGCAUGCGAGAAAUGUAUUGAUCCUUGACGGUUCUCCUGUGAUGCAAACAAUCAGUACAGCAUGUAGAAGUGCUAGCUGGAAAUUUAUUUAAUUAAUAUGAAUGGGAAAUUUACCUAAAAAAAUUCUUGGUUUUUCAACUCAAAUAAUUCUUAAUUUUUUUAUAUUUAAUUCUUGACUUAUAAUGGUUAAUCAAAGGUUGAUAAUGAUGAAAAUUAAUUCUUCAUCCUUUUACCUUCCAAAACUUACUAUUAAAAGAAAAGUGAAAAAAGAGUUUUCAAUUUGAAUUUUUCAGAUUCUUAUGGUGUUUGUUGUAACCCAUUUUUGGGUCCCCAUGAAAAAUAAAAUAAAUAGCCAAAAGAGUUUAGAAAAAAUAACAGAAGGUAGAAGCGCUCAGGAAACAGUUAGAAAAUUGGUCAAGAAAUUCAAAAAUACAAGGAUUAAAUUUUUGACAGUAUAUUCUUGAAGGAUGAGAGCCCUAUUGAGAAGGAAAAUUUGAAUUUUGAGGAGAAAAACCCAAAUUUGGAUGUUUAUGGACUUAAUUGGAUUUUUAUGGACUUAAUUGGAUUUUUAUUUGAAUUUAUAAAGGAUUUGAUUGCAAGAAAAAUUAAUUUUUAAGUCAAUUUGGGCUUUAAUUUGAAGAAAUUUAAGUUCUGGGGCCAAAAUAUAUUUUUUAGGAAUUUAUUGGGUCAAAUCAAGGGCUUAAUUGAAUAAAUAUUGAAGUUUAAGGGCCAAUUAGGGAUUUAAUUAAGAAAAUCCGAAACCAGGGACCAAAUUGGAAGAGGCGCGUAAAUGGAGGGGCUGCAAAUUUUUUGGUUCAGGGGCCUAAUUGAAGAAAUUGAAAGUUUAUUAAUCAAUUGAGGGCUAAAUUGCAUAAAUCAGAGACCAAGGACCAAAGUGAAAAAGGCGGCCAACAAGAGGGGCGGGGACCGAGUCCGAAGGACUAAUUUGAAGUUUGACCCAUUUAAAUGAAACGGCGCGUUUUAUCCAAAACGACGCCGUUUCAUAUAUAUAUAUAUAUAUAUAUAUAUAUAUAUAUAGGAAAGACCAGAACGGUGUCGUUUUGAACGACACUGUUCGUCUUCUUCCUUUCCCCCGCAGAAACAGAAACAGAGGCAAAACCAUUUUUUUUCGUUUUUUUUCAAAAUCUUCCCGCGCCUCUCUCUCCUCGCCCCCACCACCUUUAGAUAUUGGCCGACCAGCCGUUACACCCGAUGGUCCCCCACGGUUCAGCCCCUAUAAAUAGAGAAGAAAACCGAAAGAAAAAAGGAGACCCCGAGCGGAAUAGAGAGAGAGAGACCCGAAGGGAGGAGAGAAAGAGAAAACCGCCUGACCCGCCGUCCGUAAGCCAAGCUGCCACCGCCUCCGCAGCAGCACCGCCAGCAAGUCGUCGUCUUCGCCGUGCCAGGUACGCUUCCCCCCCUGCACAUUUUUUUCUUUUUGUUCUUAAAUUUCGUCUCCUGCAUGCAGAGGCGUUCUGCAUGCAGGGGACGGGGGGGGAAUAAUUCCCCCCCCUUGUGUUUUUUAAUUCCUCUGGGCCAGAUGUUGUCUGGCCCAGAACUAUGUGGUCCGGGCCAGAGAGAUCUGGCCCAGUCCGGCGAUCUGGGCCGGGUCCGGCCCAGACCGAGGUUAAUUAGUUUUUUGGGCCGAGUUCGGCCCAGUACCCGUUGGGCCGAGGUCGGCCCAACGACUGUUGGGCUAGGUCUGGCUCAGUUUAGUUGGGCCGGCCCAGCCCCUUUUAAUAUAUAAAUAUAUUAUAAUUAUAUUAUAGUAUUAUUAUUAUAUAUGUGUAUAUAUGUUAUAUAUAUUAAAAAAUAUUUAUAUAAAAAAAUAAUUAAAAAAAAAAUCUAAAAAAUAUUGUUGAUUUUUCCGCAUAUUUUUAUCAAAGUGGUUUAAUAGUGGUUUGUAUUUUUAUACCGUAAAGAUACAAAACCAGUGUUAUAAAUACCCGGUUUUCGUCAAAACAUCAAAGAUUUUCAGAAUAAAAAAUGUUUUUGCUUUCAAAAAAAAAAAUUCUAAAAAGUCCCUAAAAAUGUUGUUGAUUUUUCUGCAUAUUUUUAUCAAAGUGGAUUAAUAUUGGGUUGUAUUUUUAUACCGUAAGGAUACAAACUCAGUAUUAAAAUACCCGAUUUUCGUCAAAGCAUAAAAAAAUAAUAUUUUCAAAAAAAAUUGUUUUUGUUUUAAAAUACGGCCUAGUCUCUCCAAUAUAUAUAUAUAUAUAUAUAUAUAUAUAUAUAAAUAUUAUAACAUCACAUUUUCACAACAAAGAAAAUUUUCAAAACAAUAUAUGUAUUAGCAUGCAUUUUGGCUUUAAUAACCAGUUUAUUCAAGCCAUGAGAACUAGGCCAAUAUUUCAAAAAUUCUAAAAAAUCUUUUUGUUUUCUUUUAGUAUUUGGGAUUACGAAUUUAUACGUAAAACGUAUUCCUAAAUAUUAUUAAUAAAAUUUUGGUAUGAACGUUAGAACGUUUAGGAUUUUUACCCGAUAAGAUAAAGACCUCCUUACCGAGGAGGAUUUUUCUUGAACCAUAGACAGACCAACAACUAGGAAAACAGAAUAACACUUUAGUUUUUAUCGGACAAUAAAACAAUGCAGCUUACCUUAGGUAGGGCGUAUUUGGGGUGCUAAUACCUUCCCUUUACGCAACCAGUCUCCGUAUCCGAUCUCUGAGACCAGUUAGGGUUCCUAGUGACCAAAAUACUAGGUGGCGACUCCAAAGAACCAAAUCAAACCAAAUAAUGAAAAAUUUUGCCAGUCGAACCCGCAAUUAUAAAAUGAUUUUUUUUGGGGUGCGACAGUGUUCUUAAUUGCCUCUUAUUUUAAUGUUUUAUUCUCAUUUUAAUUUUUGGUUUUUCUCUCAAAUUUAGAGGUUAGAUUCAUCUUAUAUAAUUAUUAAGACACAUUUGAGUUUCAUAUUUUAUUUUAUUUUUGUUCAAAAACAUUGUUUAAAAAUACAUCUAAACUAAAAUGGUGUUGUUAGAAUCCUAGAAGACGUACUACAAACAUUCUAGUUAUACAGGUGAGAAGCAAUAAAAUCUUAAAGACAAAUGAUUCAUUCUUGACAAUAACAAAAAUUUCAUUACCUUCCUAAUUUGUUUUGGAUCUUUUUUUUUUCCUUCAAGUUUUCAAGUUUGUUUAUGGUAAUUUUCGGGUUUAUUUAAAGAAUUAUAAACUUGUAUUUAAAAUAUUUAAUUAUAAAAUUAUAAAUUAAAAUUCAUGUGUUAUCCUUUCUUUUAAAAGUUUUGUUUACUUAUAUUUAUUAUCUUUAUUGUUUAUAUUAUCUACAUCAAUCGAUGAUAUAAGAGCUCUGCAUGCUCUGCAUCAACUUGCUUACACUCCAUGAUAACAAUAACAUUAAAAAAAAAACCGGAAACCGUCAACAGCAUUGGUGACCACUACAGUAGUUCAUUUUGUCCUCUAAUAUUUGAUAGCCCAUAUCAUUAUCAAUAUUAUGAAAAAGAGAGUCUUCGUAAUUCUUUAUUAUUAAUAAUAAUUGAGAUUCUUGAUUAUCAAGUCUUCCCUUUAUAUAUCAAAUCAUUAGAUUAACCUGUAUAAUUUAUUUUAAUUAAAAUAAUAUUAUUACAUUUAAAAAAAUAUUAAUCUUUAAACUUUUUUAAUCUAAAAUUAGAUGUUUCUAUGCCUAAAUUAAAACUUAAUUGAUUCUGAUUUAUUUAGCAAUGAUAAAAUUGAAAAAUAAGUGACCAAACUCAAGAACAUGGGUUCAAUCAGGCCAAUCCGAAAUCCUCGUUGGGUUUCUUGAAAUAAUUAAAUUAUAGUGUACAUACAAAUAUUGACUUUUAUUAAAGUUUCCCAAUUGUAACACUCCACGUCUCAAAAACCCCAUAGUCACAUUCCCUCAUUCUUCCUCCCACACUCUGUUUCUUGCUUUUGAGCCUGUUGAAUUUGGAUGGGAUGGGCCUUUUUUUUAUUAUCUUUUUUUGUUUGAAAUUAUUAUAUAUAUAUAACUAAAAGAAUAAAGUUUGAAGCUUUGGAGAUUUUUUUUCUUUUGUUUUGAAAGAUUCAAAUUUGCAAAUUCACAAGUGAAGAACUGCAGUUCUGAGAAUUCAUGUGCUAAAUUAAAUAUUCACAAACCAAAUAACUACAGUUCUGAUGCAUUAUAUGCUACAAGGUGCAAACAACACAAGAAAAAUGGCAACUCGUACUCUCGAGCAACAAGUAUAUAUCACUGAAACACUUGCCAAGCCAAGCUCAUACGCCCACUCAUAGUGGCUCU